CUUCCCGCAUCUUACACUCCACUGAAGUCACACCAACCUUCUCCCGGAUAGUCUCAUUCCGAACUCUAUCCCCUCGGGUCAGUCCACACAUCCAGCGCAACAUCCGCAUUUCUGCCACCUUCAUUUUUUGGAUGUGGGAGUUCUUAACUGGCCAACACUCCGCUCCAUACAGCAAGGCCGGACGGACUACCACCCUAUAGAAUUUGCCUUUAAGCUUGGGCGGCACCUUCUUAUCACACAGCACCCCCGAUGCGAGUUUCCACUUCAUCCAUCCCGCCCCAAUACGGUGCGAGACAUCCUCGUCAAUCUCACCGUUACUCUGGAUCACGGACCCGAGAUACUUGAACUUAUCCCUCUUCCCUACCUCCUGUGCUUCUAGCCUCACUACUACCUCAUUCUCCCGCCUCACGUCAUUAAACUUACAUUCCACAUACUCUGUCUUGGUUCUGCUCACCCUGAACCCUUUAGACUCCAGAGUUUGCCUCCACAACUCUAAUUUGUCAUUCACACCCCCUCGAGUGUCAUCUAUCAGGACUACAUCGUCUGCAAAAAGCAUACACCACGGCACCUCCCCUUGGAUACGCCGCGUCAACACCUCCAUUACUAACGCAAACAAAAAGGGACUAAGAGUAGAUCCUUGAUGCAAUCCUGUCAGGACAGUGAAAUGCUCUGAGUCUCCUCCCGCCGUCCUCACCUGGGUUUUCGCUCCCUCAUACAUAUCCUUAAUUAGUCUGAUAUAUGCCUGCGGUACUCCACUCACCUCCAAGCAUCUCCAAAGCACUUCCCUGGGGACUUUGUCGUACUCCUUUUCCAGGUCGAUGAACACCAUGUGCAGAUCCUUCUUCCUCUCCCUAUACUGCUCCACCAACCUCCGUACCAGGUGGAUUGCCUCCGUCGUCGAGCGGCCGGGCAUAAAAUGUUAUUAAAAUUUUAAGUAUAAAUAUAUCGUAUGAAUUUAGUUUGAAGUAUCUACGUUCCUCUAUUGCAACUUGCAAGUUAACAUUAUCUUAUUUUCGACUUUAUUACUCUUGUUUCAUUUAAUUUAGUUGUUUUCAAUAUUUAUAUUGUCCUCACUUUUAUCUUUUGAUAUUUCCUUUAUAGUUUUUAAUGUUGCAUUUAUUUAAUAUCAUUUUUUGAAAAGUUAAAAAAGAGAUAAUAUUCACUAUCAUUUCUAAAUUCAUUGACUUUCUUUAUUUUGUAUUUUUGCUUCGAACAAGCGUUGAUUCUUUUAUUUUUUUUCUGUAAAUAACUACCUAUAGAAAAGGGUAGAACAGUCAAUUUAUUGAACCAUAGAGCUUUCUAGACAAUUUUUCAAGAAACAGCAAAAGCUGAAAAAAAAUUGAAUAAAGAAUAAAAUAAUAUAGAGUCCAUUAAAAGCAAGAAACUACGGAGAAGCCGCUCCACUUUUUCACCUUCUCCCUAUUAUUAUUAUUAUUAUUAUUAUUAUCCUUAUUUUAUUAUUUAGCCUGUUCACUUUUAGUUAUUCACUUUAGAUAUUAUUUAUUUUUUUAAAAAUAAUAACUAGUAUAAAUAUUUAUUAUAAUAUUUAUAUUAAUUAAAAUUAAUCUUAUAUUUUGAAAAAUACUUUUAAGAAACAAGUAAUUAACGUUACAAUAAUUGCAUAUCCAAUUAAUUUACAUAGUAGAUUGAUAGAGUGAGAAUAAAGCAUCCGUAUAUUUUACUAUUACCUCCUAAAAAUUUUUUCGAGCUCGCUAGAAAUCAAAGCCUAUUAUAUCUCGCGCCAUUUGAAUAGAAAUAGAGAUAAUGUUUUUAUGGAUAUUCAAUGUUUAAAGUAAAAUAUGAAUAUAUAUAUAUAUAUAUAUAUAUAUAUAUAUAUAUGUAUUUUCUUAAUAUGCUUGAAAAAUGAAGUAAACUGAAAAUAUAUUUUUGAUAUUAAAAUUGAUUAUUUAUCAAUAAAUAUUUCUUAUCAUUUUUGUUUUGGUUGUAUGUAGUAUUAUAGUAUAAAGCAAAGAGGCAGAGAUCUCUUAUUUUUCGAUUCUCUCACUCUACAGUUUCCCGAGACAGAGACGCACAAUAGCUAUCCAAAGUUCCCUUGUACUAUAACAACUCUCGCUCUUUCAUCUUCUUCUCCGGUGGCGGCGACGUCUACGGCGGCGAAUCUCCACUCCUCCGGUAAGCAAUCUCCGGCAUCUAUUUUGAUUACGUAAUUUGUACGUAGAUCUUCUAGAAGCUUCUAUCGUACUUCCGAUUGUUCUAGAUCUUCGUUUUUUAAUCGUUGAUCGUGAGACUUCGUUUUGAUUUUUGAUUUUGAUUGAAUUUCAGGAGUAUUUUUUCAUUUUGAGGAAAUUUGGUUGGAUAUUUAUUAGAUUUUGUCGAUUCUGGAGGUUAUAAAUGGGAAAAGGAGGUGAAGAUUAUGGUAAAAGGGAGAAUUUAGGUGGUAAGAGUGUAUCAGAUAAGGAAGUUUUCCCGGCGUGGUCGAAAGACGUGAAGGAAUGUGAGGAGAAAUUCGAGGUGAAUAGGAAUUGUGGAUUGAGUGAGGAUGAGGUUGUUAAAAGGAGGCAGAUCUACGGUUUUAAUGAAUUGGAGAAGCACGAAGGGCAAUCGAUUUUAAGGUUGAUUUUAGAUCAGUUUAACGAUACGUUAGUUAGGAUUUUGCUUGGUGCUGCGGUGGUUUCAUUUAUUUUGGCUUGGUUAGAUGGAGAAAAAGGUGGUCAAAAGGAGAUCACGGCUUUCGUUGAGCCUUUAGUGAUUUUCUUGAUCUUAAUUGUUAAUGCUGCGGUUGGUGUUUGGCAAGAGAGUAAUGCCGAAAAGGCUUUGGAGGCUUUGAAGGAAAUUCAGUCAGAGACUGCAUGUGUGAUUAGGGAUGGGAAAAGGUUUUCUAGUUUGCCUGCUAAAGAGCUUGUACCGGGGGAUAUUGUUGAGUUGAAAGUCGGAGAUAAAGUACCAGCUGAUAUGAGGGUUUUGAGUUUGAUCAGUUCGACUCUGAGGCUUGAACAGGGAUCGUUGACGGGUGAGAGUGAGGCAGUUAGCAAGACCACUAAAGCUGUACCGGAAGAUGUUGAUAUUCAAGGGAAGAAAUGUAUGGUAUUUGCUGGAACGACUGUGGUGAAUGGAAAUUGUAUUUGUUUGGUUACUGAAAUAGGGAUGGAUACCGAAAUUGGGCAGGUGCACUCACAGAUUCAUGAAGCAUCACAACAAGAGGAAGAUACCCCGUUGAAGAAAAAGCUAAAUGAGUUUGGAGAAGCUUUAACUGCCAUAAUUGGUGUCAUCUGCGUGUUGGUGUGGCUGAUUAACGUGAAAUACUUCCUCACUUGGGAGUUUGUUGAUGGGUGGCCUAGGAAUUUCAAGUUUUCGUUCGAGAAGUGCACUUAUUAUUUUGAAAUUGCAGUGGCAUUGGCAGUUGCUGCGAUUCCAGAAGGUCUGCCUGCAGUUAUUACAACUUGUUUGGCACUUGGCACACGCAAGAUGGCUGCUAAGAAUGCGCUUGUUCGUAAAUUGCCUAGUGUAGAAACUCUUGGUUGUACAACUGUUAUUUGCUCGGACAAAACAGGAACAUUGACCACUAAUCAGAUGGCUGUGUCCAAGCUUGUUGCUAUGGGUGCCAAGCCUAACACAUUGCGAUCCUUCAUUGUUGAAGGGACCACCUAUGAUCCCUUUGAUGGAAAGAUACAAGAUUGGUCAACGGGUCGUAUGGACGCUAACCUCGAAAUGAUAGCGAAAAUUGCGGCUGUCUGCAAUGAUUCUGGAGUUGAAAAAUCUGGUCAGCACUAUGUUGCCAGUGGACUGCCCACUGAAGCAGCACUAAAGGUACUGUUUAUAUUUGAAUUGGAUUGCUUCUCUUUAUCUUUCCAGAUUCAUAUCUCUGCUCUCUAUCCACUAUGUGAGUGUAUUAUGCUAGACUAGUAUUCAGUUACUCCUAAGCUUUAUUUUGUUAGAUAUGGUUUAUCAUUGUUUGGAAUGUGGAUUCGUGAUUUAUCGGUGGAAUUUAAUUUCUGACAUCGACAUUGUUUAAUAUUUAUCUAUAAUUUGUUUCUGCUGGCCACCACCCCUCCCUGCCUGACACAAACAUAAGAAUGAAUUAAGUAAAUUAUCCCUGAUGUGCUUUUUUUUUUUUCAAAAAUACAGUUAUAUGCACUAAAAACUUUUUGUAUUCGCUUUCUUAAAGCUUUCUGGUGACUUAUUUAGAGUUUCUUGAUGUGAUAUAAGGUUCUGGUCGAGAAAAUGGGACUUCCUGAUGGCGUCAAUUCCAUUUCCUCUUCAAGUGACAAAGAUGGCCUCCGUGAGUUGUGGUUGCUGUUCUAUUAUGGUUAUGGUCUUCGUUUACACUGCAACAUUUUCUAACUUCAGUUAGCUGAAUGUAGGUUGCUCUUACACAUGGAACAAAAUUGAAAAGCGUAUUGGUACUCUUGAAUUUGACCGUGAUAGGAAAUCCAUGGGUGUCAUUACUACUUCUACAUCUGGAAGAAAGUCAUUGCUUGUGAAGGUGUGCUCUUUAUUUUCUUGGAUUCUCUAAUUCAUAUUGUGUUUCCUACACCUUUUAAUUGUUAUUGACGCUUUUGAAGCUCAAUGCAUCAACGGCAUGUAUAGUUUUGGUUCUAUGCAAAUACUAAUAUGGAUGCUUCUGUUGUUGCAAUUUAUAUUUUUGUGGCACUUACAUUUGGUGUUUCCUUUGGACUUUCUCUUUAUAGCAUUAGAAUUGACUUUUACUAUGCAAAUGGAUGGAACUGCUACUUUGGAUAUGUGUGAUUUUUCUCUUCAGAGGAUUCUCAUAGUAACACCCUGUAUGCCGAGGAUGUACAUUAUCAAAUAGCAAUUUUAGCACCACAACUUUCCUGUGGUUAGUGUGGUUAGUGUCGUCCUGAUCUAGGUCCAUAGUUGUCAAAAGUUGCUAAUCUUGGUUUGAUGUGUAUUGGGUGAAGUAUUGGAUCUUCAUUAGCUCAAUUAUGGACCCGAUGUAGCUAUAUAGCUGUUCACAGAGCCAUUGACAACACGUACAACAAUGGGGUUUGGGGAGAGCCAUUGACAACACCUACAACAAUGGGGUUUGGGGAGAGUGGGGCUUACGCUUACCCUAGCUUCUGUGGUGGAGAUGUCUCCAGUAGGUCCUCGGCUCAAGAAGACUGUUUCCAAAACAGGUUUGACAAAUAUAUACAAGUAAAAGCUAUAGUGGAAACUCCGUGGAAAAGAAAACACUUGACAACAAAAUAGGAAAGAUAAGUCAAGUAAAUGAACAACAAUAGUAAUACAAUUUAAGAACAAGAUAAUACUUAUUCCGUUUCAAUUUGUUUGUAUGGUUUUGACUUCUCACAGUUUGAAAGUGAAGAAGAUUUUUGAAUCUUAUGCUCUGAAAUUAAAGAUAAGUACAACAACAUACCCUGUAUAUUCCCACCAAGUGGGGUCCGGAGAGGGUAAGUGUACGCAUAGUGUUCAGGAAUGCGCUCGUAUAGUCGCAUAACAUGAUGAUGCGAAGCGAUGCGAGCUCCUCUCACUGCGUGUGGCUGAUGUGAGCGCAUCAUGUUGAUUUUAUUUUUAAGGUCAAUUUUAAAUUUAAAAAAGAGUUGCUUCAUAUUGAUUUUAUAUUUAGGGUUAAUUUUAAUUUUUUUUUAAAAAGGCUACUGCGAUGACUACCAUUGUUGCAGUUUUCUGAGGUUAACUUUGACGUCCACUGAGGAUUUACACAUGGUGUUCAUCGACCUAUAAAAGACGUAUGAUAAAGUCCUGAGGGAGGUUUUUUGGAGGUGCUUGGAGGUGAGAGGGGUCCUGGUGGCGUACAUCAGAGCUAUUAAGGACAUUUACGAUGGAGGGAAGACCCGGGUGAGAAUGGCGGGAGGAGACUCAAAGCAGUUUUCGAUCGUGACCAGGUUGCAUCAGGGAUCGACUCUUAGUCCGUUCCUUUUUGCAUUGGUGAUUGACGUGUUGACGCGGAGCCUUCAAGGCGAGGUGCCUUGGUGUAUGUUAUUUGCGGAUGAUGUGGUGCUGAUUGAUGAGACGCGAGGGGGUGUGAAUGGCAAAUUGGAGGUUUGGAGGCAAACCUUUGAGUCUAAGGGGUUUAGGUUGAGUAGGUCCAAAAUUGAGUAUUUAGAAUGUAAGUUUAGUAACUUGCGACAGGAGGACGAGGGAGUGGUGAGGUUGGACUCCCAGGAUGUCUGUAAGAUGGACAGUUUUAAGUAUCUUGGAUUUACGAUUUAGGGGAAUGGUGAGAUUGAUGAGGAUGUCUCUAAACGUAUUGGAGCAGGUUGGAUGAAGUAAAGACUAGCCUUGGGAGUGUUGUGUGAUAAGAAGGUGCCCCUUAAGCUUAAAGGCAAAUUCUAUAGAUUGGCAGUUUGUCCGGCCAUGUUGUAUGGUGCGGAGUGUUGGCCAGUCAAGCACUCGCACAUCCAAGAAUUGAAUGUGGCGGAAAUGAGAAUGUUGCGUUGGAUGUGUGGGCUUAUUAGAGGUGACAGAGUAAGAAAUGAGACUGUUCGGGAGAAGGUGGAGUGGUUUCAGUGGAAGACAAGUUGCGGGAAGGUAGACUGCGAUGGUUUGGGCAUGUGAUGAGGAGGAGUGCGGAUGCCCCAGUCCGGAGGUGUGAGAGGCUUGCUUUGGAUGGCUUCAGGAGGGGUAGAGGUAGGCCGAAGAAAUACUGGAGGGAGGUGAUUAGACAUGACAUGGAGCAACUCCAGCUGACUGUGGACAUGACCCUAGAUAGGAAGGUGUGGAGGUCGCGGAUAAGGGUUGAAGGCUAAUGCGGGGUGUGGGUUGUGUAGCUUGCCCUCUGGAGAGGGUUAGUAAGCUUAGGUCCGUGUUCAUAGUGUCCUUGUUAUGGGAGUGUAGGUUAUUACUAGGUGGGUGCACUAGGUCUUAUAUCUUAGUACCUAUUUUCUUAUUCCGUGUCGCCCUUAUGUCUCGUAUUUCAUAUUUCUCUGAUGUCUAUUUUAUUAUUUCUUAUUCCUGAUUUUCUAUUAUGUUUUCCAUCCCUUUGUUUACUGUUCUCUACUUUGAGCCGGGGGUCUAUCGAAAACAACCUCUCUACUUCCUCGGAGGUAGUGGUAUGGACUGCGUACAUCUUACCCUCCCCAGACCCCACUCUUGUGGGAAUACACUGUGUAUGUUGUUCUUGUUGUUGUGACUUCUUCUUCUUUACUGUGCGACUACCACUACUACGUCUUCUUCUUCGCUGGUUCACUUCAGUGAUGCGCUCGCAUCGCUUCAUGCUUCGCGUAAUGCGUGAUGCGGAGCCUUGUCGCUUUUUUCCGCAUUGCAGUCCAUACCACUACCUCAGAGGUGAGAUAGAGGGGCUGUUUCCGAUAGAUCCCCGGCCUAAUAGUUAAAGGACAAGAUACAAUGUAUCAAAAUGUCCUUUAAUAUUGGUGGUCUUAAGCAUGCCAUGUGGAAAGUUGAAACUGAAGUCCUCAAAAAGGAAGGCAUUCUUUCUAAAAUGAACUAAAAAAGAAAGUAAGACAAACAAAUUGGAGGGACAAAUAGAACAAUAAUAAUAGUAAUGCUGAUAAGUAGAAGAGGGGGAGCAGACAAGGUGCUCUAAGCUAGAACCGUGCUCUACCUUCCUAAAAAAAGUUAGAACCAUGCUCUACCACAGGGUGUUCACGGAGCCAUCAUUAUAGGAAAUUUAAAUUGCUGCAUGGUAAUUUUUAAUGAGAGGUACUAGGUUCUUGUGUGUGGUAACUAGGGGUGAUAUGUGUAGUUUCUACUUGUGCUCUUAGCUUUUAUUUUACAUGAUUAAAAGCUUGUCAAUUUUUUACCUACUCACGCUGUUUGUGUGUGGGUGUUCAUGGUUAGUAUAGGCUAGUUCUACGUGUUUUUGUCCACUAUUGAUUUUUUGGGGAUAUUUGCUUUGUGUGCUGUUUGGGAUUUAAUUAUCUAAGAUAUGUUGUUUCAUUUUCAGGGUGCAGUUGAAAAUCUGUUGGAAAGAAGCUCCUAUGUGCAGAUGCAAAAUGGUUCUGUUGUAGAAUUGGAUCGUUCUUCAAGGAAUCAUAUAUUGCAAAGCCUUCAUGAAAUGUCAUCCAAAGCAUUACGUGUCCUGGGUUUUGCAUACAAGGAGGAUCUGCCCGACUUUGCAACCUAUAAUGGUGAUGAAGACCAUCCAGCUCAUGAGCUCCUACUUAAUCCUUCUAAUUAUCCUUCCAUUGAGAGUGAUCUUAUAUUUGUUGGCUUGGCUGGGAUAAGGGUAAGUUAGUUAACUUGCUUUGUCUUGACUAUUUUUUGGGGUCCUAAUUCCUAAAACCUUCUUUUAUUGGGAAAUUCAAGACAUUGAACGAAUGCGUAUCAUCUUGUCACAGGAUCCUCCUAGAAAAGAGGUACGACGUGCAAUUGAGGAUUGCAGAGAAGCCGGCAUUCGAGUUAUGGUAAUUACAGGAGAUAACAAGAAUACAGCAGAAGCUAUUUGCCGUGAGAUAGGUGUCUUUGGAAGCCAUGAAGAUAUCAGUUCAAGGAGCUUAACUGGAAAAGAAUUUAUGGAGCUUGCAAACCCCCAAGCACAUAUAGGGCAGAGUGGAGGUCUCCUAUUUUCCAGAGCUGAGCCAAGGCAUAAACAAGAUAUAGUUAGAUUGCUUAAAGACGACGGUGAGGUGGUUGCGAUGACUGGGGAUGGAGUGAAUGAUGCACCUGCUCUAAAAUUGGCUGAUAUUGGAAUUGCAAUGGGAAUCGCUGGAACUGAGGUAAAAAAUGAUGAUCCUAGUAGUACUAGAAUUUGUGAACACUGUCAUUGGAGGCAUGUAUCUGGAAGAAUCUAUUUCCUGCAGUAUUUAACAGCAAACAAUAAUAGUACAUUUAACAGUGGUAGGCAUAAAGUAUAGUUUCUCUCUGCCCCACCAAUCAUCUCAUGAACUCUGGUCCUGGAUGAUUGUAUAAUGAUGUGUUUCCCAUGUUGAGGCUAACUUAUUACACUGUAUAUGCUCAUCUUAUUCUUGGGCUACUUCACUGUCAGUUGAUAUGCUUAUACUAAUAGAAACUUAACUUCGGUUUCCUACAUUAGUAUCUUUUAUUAUAUCAAAUUCUCAUACAACUUGAUUUGUCAUUUCCAAUACACAACUCCUGAAGUUUUUAAUGGGUUUGGGGUCAAAUGGAUCCAGUGGUUAGAUACAGGUAUAGAUACUGUUAGGUUCUCUAUCCUCACUAAUGUAUUGAUACUGUUAGGUUCUCUAUCCUCACUAAUGGAAACCCUGAAGUUUUUGUCAUGUUACUUAUGGCUGAUUUUUCUCCCAGGUGGCAAAGGAAGCAUCUGACAUGGUUUUGGCAGAUGAUAAUUUUAGUACAAUUGUAGCUGCUGUUGGUGAAGGCAGGUCCAUUUAUAACAACAUGAAGGCCUUCAUCAGGUUUAUUCUCUCUCAUCUCCUUCAGUUGGCAAUAUUUCUAUUGAUGGUACUCUUGAUUAGAUGUUAUUGUAUUUCUAUUAUUUUGGGUUCAGUAUUUGGCUUUUCAAUAUAUAUUCGACUAUGGUGCGUUGCAUUUAGCUAUAUGUAGAAGAGUGAGUUGACCUUUGCUGAACUAGGCAGAUAGACCCUUUCAGACUUGUGCUAUCUCCAGGCUGCUGCUUUCUGCAAAUCAUCACAAUCAAGACAACCUACUUUAGUGUGUUUAUCAUUCUAUUGGGAAGCUUUUCAUUGAGUAUGAUACGUCAUACAAUUACGCAAAUAAAUAUGCCAAUUCUUGCUUUUUAAUGUUUCAAAUAAAUCUCUUCUUGGAAGUUGGCAUGAUCCAACUAUGAGUUAUUUCUCAUUCUGCUCUAGAGUUUUUCUAUAAUAAUUUCCGUCCAUUAGAUUUCAUGUGAUAUGGUUUGAAGUGCCCAGUCUUGAAAAGCCAUAGCUUUUUCGCUAAAAGCAGUGAAGCAAGGAGUUUUGGUUUCAUGAGUGAUGCCAUGUGUUUCAGAUAGAUGUUUUUCUAAACAAUCAGCCGCAAAAUGAUCCAAACGCAGAAGUGGUUGGAUCUUUAAAUCUAAACUAUGAGGAGUUGGCUAAUAUUGACAUCAGUUGUUAUAUUGGAUGUUGGAAUUUAGUUGUUUUAGUUGCAGUUAGAUAAUUUUUAUUACUGAAUUUGUAUAUGUGGUAAUUUUCAAUUUUUCAUACUUCACUUCGGAGAAAUUCUUGUUUUAUGCUUCAAGUCUCAUGGACCUUGUUGUUUAUAAAAUCACUGGAAGUACCUAAAAGGUGUUAUCAGGGAAAGAUAACACCUGCUACUUAUGCUCGCACAUGCACAUUUGUAAUUCCUUUUUGGGUUGAGACAUGCAUUCAAACAGUUUGGAUGUUCUAACAAUGGAAUAUAUGUUACUGAAUGGGUUGUGGAGAACUUGGAUUAAGCUUUACUUCUUCUUAUUGAGUUGCAUGCGACUGGGUCCUUGUGUUAAUUGACUUGGAUAAGUUGGCUACCACCCUUUUGGACAACUUUCUUCUAGUGGCAGCUGUUGGUUCCAUGUUUUAUCGUUUUUAUUUAUUUAUUUAUUUUAGAAGGGAGUAUGUAGUUAAUAUUAAUUUGUUAGGAUGCAAUCCUUACAUUAUUUCUUUGAACUUUCUGAAUUAGCAUCUUUAGUCAGUGUAUGGCAUGAUACCAAAACUGACGGUGCAUCAUCAAUGAAGUGCCUAGAUUGACGUUUUACCUUGUUAUAGGUACAUGAUCUCCUCAAACAUUGGUGAGGUCGCUUCUAUUUUCCUUACUUCUGAGCUAGGCAUUCCUGAAGGUCUUAUCCCAGUUCAGCUCCUGCGGGUCAACCUGGUCACUGAUGGACCCCCUGCUACAGCAUUGGGAUUUAAUCCACCAGACAAGGAUAUAAUGAAGAAACAACCAAGGAGAAGUGAUGAUUCAUUGAUCAGUGCAUGGAUUUUAUUUCGCUAUCUGGUUUGCCCGCUAAUUAUUUAUUUUGUUUUCAUUUGUUUCCACCUCCUACUUUGUUUGCGAGAAUGAAAACCUCGUGCUUAUCAUUUCUAAAUGCAUCAAGCAGGUUAUUGGGUUGUAUGUUGGUGUAGCAACUGUGGGAAUUUUUAUCAUAUGGUUCACCCACGACUCUUUCCUAGGCAUUGAUUUAAGUGGAGAUGGCCACAGUCUUGUCACCUAUUCCCAGCUGUCUAAUUGGGGUGAGUGCAAAACCUGGAAUAAUUUCACCGCCUCACCUUUCACUGCAGGAUCACACGUGAUCAGUUUUGAUAAGCCGUGCGAUUACUUCGUGGAGGGCAAGGUCAAAGCCAUGACCCUUUCCCUGUCUGUAUUGGUUGCAAUUGAAAUGUUCAACUCCCUUAAUGCCCUUUCGGAAGAUGGAAGCCUUUUGACAAUGCCACCAUGGGUCAACCCAUGGCUUCUUUUGGCCAUGUCGGUCUCAUUUGGGUUGCACUUCUUGAUCCUCUACGUGCCUUUCCUUGCUCAAAUAUUUGGUAUCGUUCCACUGAGCCUGAACGAGUGGCUGUUAGUAUUGGCUGUUGCAUUACCAGUCAUAUUGAUUGAUGAGAUUUUGAAGUUCAUUGGAAGGUGCACAAGUGGUAUUCGAACAGGUGCAAGGAGUCCUACAAAGCAGAAGGAAGAGUAGAAGCAAAAAGCACAAAUGGUCAUCCAGUUGGAGCUGCUGUUCAAAACACCAUAAAUUGUGUUGGACAUAUUAUUAACAGAGCUUAUGUUAUUCAUACCCGCAAAUGGGGUUUGAUUAGCCUAUUCUCUUGGUCCUUCCUCUUUAACCCAACCCAAUCGCUGUUAAAUGUCGAGGGUUGGUGUGGACCUUGCCAGAUUUAAUUAGAUUCAUUAGUCAUUUUCUGAUACUCAGAUGAUAGAAUUAGUUUGAUAUUGAUGUUUUUUUCCUCAUGAAUAGUCUUUUCUUUGUCCAACAGGACAAUGAUAGCUAAAUCUGUCCUCCAAUUUCAACUUUGCUAUCCUGUUGCUGUUGGGUCAAUUGUUACAAGUUGAUAGACCUUUGCACUUGCUGGAUUUUGGACUUAGAAUAACCUAACCAAGUAGCGCCUAUCUUAAGCACCAAACAAACUAAAAAGCAUAUGCGAUAGUUGUUUGGUUGCACGUGUAAUGUUACUUUGUUUACGUGAAUAGUGCUGAGAUCUUCAGUACCAAGCAAUAUUAAAAAUGUUGGAUUUGUCACGCUAGGAAGAACCAAGUUCAGAUUAUGAUACUUCCAUCACGUUCCAUUCUUUUUGUAAGAUUACACUUUCAGCUCACAAAUUCAAUUUUUGAUUGCUCUCAAUGUUUUGAGUAUUUGCGCUCAUUUAUUAUUAUUAUUCUUAAGAGUCUUGAACGUGCUUUACGCGAAAAGAAGAAUUUACAAUAGUUUAACUUUACACGAGGUAUAAUUUUUUGUUUGAACUACCUAUUCCAAGUUCUUCAACAACUAUCACAUGAAUUUAGGUUGUUCUUCAUCCCAUUAAAGACGGGUCAGUCCAUUUCAUAGCUAUUCUUAAUAAUCGCGUUAGACCAUUAGAUAUAGAAAUUUACGUUAGUGAACAUUUUUGCCAUCCAGUUUAUCAGUACAGUGAAAGUAUAAACUAUCAAUACACUUCAAUUUUAUAUGAAUAACAUAUGUACAUUUGGCACAAAAUAUACGCAGCAAAAUUGGGUCAUUACCGAAUUCGUUGUUAGAUUAUCAGGUUCCUUGCACACAAUUUAAAAUUGGCAUAGAAGGAAUAGAGCUUUGACAUACAUUGUCCAUUGUCCAAACAUUCUGCUAACUCUAAAAAAAAAUAUUCUUGUACAAUAUUCACUUUUCUAAAAAUAAAUUCUCUUUUACUUGUCACUUUUGACAUGUCACUAAAAAAUAAUUAUUAAACUUUUCGUGUUUUACCCUUACCAUUAAUUACUUAUUUCCCUAAUAAUUUUUCAAGACCAAAUAGUACUAAACAUCAAUUAAUAUGUUUAAUUACUCCCACUAAAUUCUAUUUCAUCUAGACAAUUGCUAUAAAAAAAUUGCUUAAUUAUUCAAAUUAAGUAGCCCACCACCUUAAAUCUCAGAUUAGUGAAAAAUUCAAGGUUAACCGCCAGGUAAAUAUAUAUUAAUUACUAUUAUAUAUUUGCAACUAUCUACCAACACUAAAGUUGUCAAAUACACCAACUUUUCUCCAAUCCUCUUGCAAUUUCUGCAAAUUAACUUCAUUAUAAAAGGUGAACAACAUAUUUGCAAACCACAAAUUAGACAAAAUGUUCCAAAAAAUAUCAUAUGUUAUACUUUUUCUUUGUGCAAUUUAUGUAGUGCAGAGUCUCGAUCCUUAUCCUCCAUGUUCAUCUUGUAAAUGUAUUGGCAAUCAAUGUGCUGGAAAUGGGAUGUUUCCUCUAUGAGCUAAAUUGGAAUGGUCCGAAUUAACAUGUAUAUAUCCGACAACUGAUUUUGUCUGUCCUUUUCAUAUAUAUCAAUUUAGCGUUUAAACAUUAAUUCUUGAAUUUUUCACCUUAUUUUGUAACCUUUUUUUUUUUUUUUGAAUUUUCAAUAGGGAAACAUGAGAAAGACGCUGUGGCGCAAGUCAAAAAGACCAAUCCUUUUGAUACUCCUGUUGUUAUUUACAAACAAGUUACAAAUAUAGCAGAUAAUUGUUGUAAUAGAGUUUGGAUCCUUGUGGAUAAACCAGGUGGUAAUGAAAUUGUUACAAAUAUUCCUGCAGUUGGAUAAGGAGUUGAAAAUUCUCUGGGAUAUUUUGUUAUAAACCAAUUGUCCCACAUUGGAAAAAUAGAGAAAUGCUAAGGGGAUUAUAAGUCAAAUGGAUUCUCCCACUUAUUAGACUAGUUUUUUUGGGUUGGGCUCUCCCGUUUGGUUUAUAACACAGGUGCUUUCAUUGAGAGUCCUACUUUUGUAGAGCCGUGACUCGGAGUGCUGGCCUGCACUCUAGGAGUGGUGGCUUGGACCCAAGAGGGUGCCAGCCGUCACCAAUGAGGAUAAAUCCAUGUGUGGGGAGCCGCGCGUUGGGGCGUGACUCGUAGGGGUGGCCUAUGUGCCAAUAGUGGUGGCCUGGACCCAACAGGGCGCCAGCCGUGAUCAACUGGGCAUAGCCGUAACCAACGAGGAUCGAUCCACGCAUGGAGUAAUGACUCGGAGUGGUGGCCUGUGAGCCAAGAGUGGUGCCAGCCGAGACCAACAAGGUCGUUGGUUCUCAAGCGGAGACGAUUAUUAUGAACCAAUUGUGUCCCACAUUGAAAAAAUAGAGAAAUGCUAAGGAGAUUAUAAGCCAAAUGAGUUCUCCGACCUAUUAGACUAGUCUUUUGGGUUGGGCUCUCCCGUUUGGUUUAUAACAUAUUUAUUUUCAUUUUAUUAGAUCCGUCAAAGGUGCCGGAUGCUAGACCCUUGUGGUAUGAUUCCUUUUUGGACUUCAUGCUUAGUGAAAGUUGUAGUGGUUGCCUGGACCCAAGAGGGGUGCAAGCCGUGAUCAACUGGGCAUAGGCGUGAUCAACGAGGAUCGAUCCACGCAUGGAGUCACGACUCGGAGUGGUGGCCUGUGCGUCAGGAGUGGUGGCCUGGACCUAAGAAGGGUGCCAACCAUGACCAACUGGGCUCAGCUGUGACCAACGAGGUCGUUGGUUCUCAAGCGGAGAUAAUUAUUAUGAACCAAUUGUCCCACAUUGAAAAAAUAGAGAAAUGCUAAGGAGAUUAUAAGCCAAAUGAGUUCUCUCACCUAUUAAACUAGUCUUUUGGAUUGGACUCUCCCAUUUGGUUUAUAACAUAUUUAUUUUCAUUUUAUUAGAUCCGUCAAAGGUGCCGGAUGCUAGAUCCUUGUGGUAUGAUUCUUUUUUGGACUCCGCGCUUAGUAAAAGCUGUAGUGCGUUGGGUUGCUCUAUUAUUUCACUUCCAUCAAAGAAAAGAAAAAAAGUUUUAGUUUUGGCAAUUUGAUGUUCACUUUGUCAAAGUUAAUUGCAGAACUCAUCCACAAUUAUGUAUAUGUGAAUUCUUUUUCUACUCUAUGAUACAAAAUAAAAUAAAAAUUCAGUACAUAUUUAUGUGUAUCAAAUAUUUUUAUUAAAUCAAGUUAAUUUGCUAUUGUUAAAUGAUUUUAAUAGUUUUAAAAUGUGUGUUGACACUUAUAUCUAGAUAUAUAUUUUUUAACCUCUGUCACAAUUGACUUGAAAAUGUGAUCUAAAAGGAAAAAAGACACCCCAAAGUCCUUUCACUAGUGCAUCAUUUUUUUUAAUUUUUUUUUUCACUUUAUCAUAAGUAAUAUUUUUUGAAUUCUAAUUUGAAUUUAUUUCUUUUUUCAGUUAAUUUCAAAAUCAAAUUAUCCCUUUUAAAAUUUAAAAAUAAUUUAAUUUAACUUUUAAUUUGUCCCUAAUGAUAAAUUGUUAUAGUCACAUAAAUUUUGUGACUUGUUGAAGAACAUAAAUAUAAAAAAAAAUCUUUUUUAUUCUUUUAAUUUUGUGCUUAAUCAAAUAAGUUUAUAUAAAUUAAAACAUAGAUUAUUUUUUCGGAAAAUUUCAGAAAUAACAACUAUAGAGUUUUAAUUGUAAGUUUUAUAGCAACCCUUUCAAAAUUACAAAAAAUAGCAAUAUGUAUUUUGUAUUUGAUUAAACUGUUGCUAGUUAAAUACAUAUACAAUUAAAGAUUCUGUUCCUAAUUUAACUCCAAUCUGUUUUAGUUUAAUAUGGAAAAAACGAUUCCUUAAUUUAAGAAAUAUUUAAUUUGACAGAUUUCUUAACCUUUUACAGAUACCUUUUUAUUUAAUGACUCUAUUUUAACUACAACCAUUAUUUUACAGCAACAUAAUUCAAAAUUCAAAAACGUUUUUCAUAAUCUGCAACUCAUAUCAAUUUGAAAAAAACGAUGCUUCCAAAAUUUAUGUUCAUCGUCUAAUGUUUUGAGAAAAGUUUGAUAAGACAACGCUGUAAAUACAGGUAUCAAUAAAUAAAUAUGAUUUGUUUGUGAAUUUUCGAACUAUAUUUGUGAAAAUCGUUGGAAAAAUUGUAACAACAAUGGUUUGAUCAGUUCUCGAACAAAGUGGUUUGAUCGAUAAUUUUUUUUUUACAAAUUAAAUUUUUUCAUCGCGUUAUGUAGGUUGAACAUUGAUGUACAAUUGUUACAGUUUAUUUUGUAUUUUUUUUUUUGUUUUCAAUUAAGCAAUUUGUUCUUGUUGGAUUUCAUUUUGUAUAUACUAAUAAGUUAUUGUAUCAAAGGGUUCGAACAUUGUAAACCUGUAAUAAUCGUUGAACUGUAUAUUGAUACUUUUGUGGCUGCUUAUAUCAUGAAUGGAACCGGUAAGUCCUUCUUAUAUAUGUAUUUAACAUUACAUAUGCUGCCAGCUAUAUGUAAUUGUAAAAUACAUAUGCAGUCUGUUUAUGUGAUCACUAGUAGUUACUUUUAUGUAUUUUAGUUUACAUAUGCUGCCAGCUAUAUGUAUUUAAAAAAUACAUAUGCACUCUGUUUUAAGUGUUUGAUUGCAUUUGUUUUUUUAAAGAAAAAUAAAAUAAAAUAUGCAGGCCAUAUAUUUCUAAAAAUACAUAUUGAGACAUGCAAUAUACAUAUGCAGAGUUGGUAAAAUACAAUUACUAAACUAGAACAAUUACAAAUGUCAAAUAAAUAAUUGUUGUUAUAAUUUUAAUUUUAUUUUAAUAAUUUCAGGUUAUACCAGCCUCAGAGUAUGUCUAUACAGUACAUGACAAGGAUAAAUAUUUUAUUGUUUGCAUUAAGGAAAAAAAAUUCUUGCCAUGUAUGAUACAAGAAAACCAAGGAGCACACGGAAUUUGGCUCAAAACAGUCCAAACACACUCCAAAAAUAGUCCACUAAUUCAAAGAAUCGAGGACCCUUUUAAAGACCACUACCGGAUUUAAGAAUGAAAUACAAGAAGGACAAUAUAACUAGGUGUUUGACACUCUUUGCAGCCAAUAACAAACUAAGUUAACAACACAAGAUGAAACAACAAUGAGAACAACAACAACAACAACAAAAACAACUUUACAAUACAAGAUACAAAAUGGAUACAAGAUUACAAAAGAAAAAUAUAGAUAGAUAGACCACAUGAAGGUAUAAUAUUAAGAACCCAAUAAUGGUAACUCUUGGACCUUUAACACUACACACAACAAUAAACCUAUCUCUUAUAAAGACAAAAGAUCGGAAUCCACCUCCCAAGCAUCAAUGUUUCCAAGCAAAUGCAAACACAAGUGAUUCUACACUUGUCUAAGUCCUAAUUUCGAUUUUGGGUGCCUCAAGGAAAGAGGACUUGUGUUUCUUUGUCUUGUAAGACUUACAAUUUCAUUCAUUAACUAAAGAGAAAAGACCUAAAAUGUACUACUUACAGUAUAUUACAAAAGUAGAUAAAAAGACCACAUUACCCUUAAUGACCAAGGGUGGCCUUGGUGUGUUGGAAGACAAUAUGAAUUGCCCAAAAACCCUUAAAGCUAAGUGACCAAAAUGCCCUUAGUAAAGGGAAUCAAAACCGUGAUCCAACAAAGGUGGUCCAAACCCGAGAGUCCUUAAGUUUUCAAGGCUUCAAACAAUCUUCUACACUUGGGUUUGAUCAAUGGUAGGCUCAAAAGGUCCCCUCCAAGUAUGAUACCAUCCACUCCCUACGACCAAAUCUUAAUUCUUCACAUAGUGACUUUGAAUGAUGUCGUCAAAAGCUAAGGCAACCAUUAUUCUUGUAUCAUCCUCCUCUUCUUGAAAACGAUUCGACCUUGAAUCCAAACCUUGCAAAACCAAAGAGAGGGCAAACAAAUACAAACUCCUUAUGGAAUGAGGGUUAAGGUUAGCACAACAAAUCAUCUCAACAUGCCAAGGUUGCACAUAUUUGCAAUAUAACCAAGGAUCUUUUGAAUUAAAUAUAAAAAUCUCAAUAAAAGGUGCACAAAGGAUUUGGUUAUGGGAGUCACCAAGAGAUAAAAAAACUACAUAGGUCCUAAUGGCAUCAAAUAAUCCAUAAGGUAGAACUUCCUUCAUCUUAUGAGCCAUAAGACAUCAUUGCUCUUUUAUCUCAUCAAAAGACCACACCAAGGGGGGUGUUUCGAUUGGUUCUAAAGUCCAUAAAAUUUAUAUAGCAUUAUCACACACACACAUGGACAGGCCAAUAAACUUCCUACCUCGACAUAAAACAAAUCCAAAACUAGCAUGGAAAUCAUCAAAGGCAAAGAGGCAGUAUAGGAAAGAAUCACAUGCAAAGGAAUUUACGGGUGAAGAAUUAGUAUUUAAAUACAUACACAUUCUUUCCUUCAAACAACUAGACAACUUGGCAUCCACAAGUUGGAAUUCAUGCAAUUUAGGCACAGGUGUGUCAAACAAGGAUGGACAUUUAGGAACAUUACCCUAAGGAGUCAAUGACACAUUUGUCCUCGGGUUUUCAAGAAGGACUACACAUUCCUUAUCCAUAAGAGUACUCUCAUCUUUCAAAAAGAGAUUUCCAUCUUUAGGAGGAAUGUUGUCACACCAUAGUGGGUUAGCAUAUCGGCUAUAGCUUCCAAGGGAAACUAUACCUUCAUUUUCACCACUAGGCUCAUUAGGAGUGUUUAUAUCAUCUUCAAGUAAGACAUUAUACCUAAAGAGAGCAUGAUCUAUUUCAUGGGAAAAUUCGGAACAAACACAUUCAGCACUCUCUAAAAGCUCAAUAUCACGUUUUAAAGAGAUUUCAAGUACAAGAUUAUUCCAAGAAUAGCUCUUGGAUUCACUCCCUUUUUAUUGACCAACUUUUUCAAAUACUUCACUCACUUGAUUUCGCUUAAUAACAUCACACACAUAUUAAAGUGGUGGAAAAUUUUCACAAAUAGGUUGAUCAACACCAAUUACACAAGACAAUGUAUUUCGUUCAACAUAUAGGCUUCAACACUAGGUAGACAUAAAUCGAUCUUACAAAAAGAGUCAAUUUGGUCAUCAAUAGGAUCAACUAGUGUAUCCACACUCACAACAUGUACAUCAUUAACAAUAGGCAAAGAAUCAUUAGACUCACAAGUAAGUAAUCUACUACUCACACUCAAUGGGCUACUAGCCACACAAUUAUCAUUCACAUGCACAAAAGUGUAAGAGUUAGCUAUUUUACCUUGAAGUUCUUGAGUUGACUCUCUUUUGCCGUGUUGUGAAGGUCCUCCAAAAGCUUGGACAGCAACUUCACUUUGGCAUUGAUCUCCAUCACUUUCCAUGUCUGUACCUACACAAAUGUCCUUAGAAAUAGGAGGACAAACAAUGUUAGCUCAGUUUGGUGGCGAUCCCCUCACUUUACUCCACCAUAACCUCUUCUUUUUUCCACUCUCGGAUUACCACCUUGCACACCCUUACUCCUCUCAAUAUUUUUUCUCUCAUAAGCAUUUGGAUUGGAGUAAGUAUUCACUUUUCUUUGCAGCUCGGGCAGCAUGUAUGUCAUGAGGUGAUUUCCCCACCGGUCUCUUACAACAUUAGGCCAAUUUUGCAUAUUUGGAAUUCUAUGUUGUGCAAACCAAUCGACACCUAAGCAUACAUGACCAUAUGUCAAUGGAAGAAUAUCACACCACACCUCCUCAUGGUACUCAAAUUAGGAGAAGACAACUUUGACCCUCUCGAUAAUCUUAAACCCGUUCAAGAAGUAUAGAACGAGUAAAGUCUCGCAAAACAACCCCAAGUAGUCAACCAUAAAUGGAACAAUGUAUUUUCUAUAGUACCUAUCAUUUAACACAAGGAGGAAACUCGGUAUCCCACAAAUGGUCACUUUUCUGGAGUGUAUACUCCUUCUUGGAUCAAUAUUGUAAAGGACACGAGUACCCUUCGGUUUUGGAGAUGCAUCCCCUCUUCUUCUCGUUGAACAACCUCCAUUAGAGCUAGUAUACCCAUUCACACUAUAUCGAUCUUGAUAAGAAGUACUACAAGGUGGAGAAUAUGAAUCUUCACACUCCUCACAUGUACUCUCAUCAUAACUCUCAUAAGCUUUGUGAAUGAAAGGAUUAUACCUAACACCAAAUCUAGGUUUGGAGUGAGAAGUGUAGGACUCCUCACAUGCCCCAACGUUAUCAUAAGAUCCAUCACGAGGUCCUACAUCAUCUUCAAAGUCACCAUAAGCACUAGGCACUUCAUUCACUUUAUUUUCUCCCUCAAAACAGUAACUUUCAAAUCUGCCCAAGUUUCGAUCAUGGCUAUUUUCAUAGCCUCUGCAAUCUUCCUCAACUUUGUAGCCAUAAAACCCUUCACUACAACCAUAGUCUCCCAUGUUGUACUCACAAUAAUCCCCGGCGAUCGAAGACAUAUUCCCCUUAUAUCACCUUUUGAACCUACAAAAUGAACAAACAAGAUUAGUAGUAAAAGAUCCUCACCAACACUCGUAUUCACUCACUUUUGUGAUCCUCACAAUUGGAGCGGCGAAUAUUGAAAGUUGUUUAUACUCCGGUAGUCAAUAAGAUGUCAAUUCUACUUGGCGGACGGAAUAGAUUCUUGCUUGAUCGACUCAAGAAACAAAACAAAAUUUACUUAUGAACUUGAAACAAAGAAGUUACUACGAGUUAAAAAUGAAAAAUAUACACAAAUAACGAAGACACGAAGAAACGGAUUCAAUAAUUAAUCUACAACUAAGUAGGUGAUUACUAGUUGUUAAUUAAUUCUAGAAUCAAGACAUGAAACUAAUGAAACUAAGAAUCUAAAAUUUGAGCUCGAAAAUAUUGCUUGAACAGUAGCAGUGAUGACAUUGCAGCCACGUAUUGGGUCGAUUUUAUCAAGUGGUUAUUCUUAAAGGUUCAAGUCUUGGUCAAAAAUUAAUUUAGAUUGGUGGAAUUUGUUUUAGGAGGAAAAAUAAGUCUUGGAGCCUUUUUCAAUUUUCAAGACUCGACUUUUUCUUGUACUUCUCCUUAAAACAUGGACCCUUGUUUCAUGGGAAAGUGGUUGAAAAGUGAUAAAAAGUCUUUAGUGUGUAGGAAAAGUCUUUUGAGUCACAAGUACUACACCUUGAAACUUAGAUCUAUGUCUUGCAAGACUAACAUAAUACACACUCUUUUUCUUCAACUUCUAAGAUCAACAACCACUUUUUUUCAACAAUAUAUGGAGAUGGUGAAGAGCACCAAGAACACAAACUUUGAGUCUUAAAGUUCUAAGGUUCAAGUUGGACCUCCCAAACAACAUCUUCCCAAGCUUAAAUUCCACAACACAAUCUCCACAAUACACGUUCAAAAAUUAAACCAACAACACAUCACACGUUGAAGUCUCGAACCCGCAACAACAAUACCAACAACAAUCGGCCACACUUUGUUCACAUUAACAACAUCAACAUUUCAAGCUAAAAUCUAAGAUAUAGACUCAAUAUGUUAGUGAGAAACAAAACUAACACUUAGUGACAAUAAAGACAAGUAAAAAUAUUGGUCAAUACACAACAAGAACAUAAUUUUUGGCCAAGAACACAAAAUGGACAGCUUGCCAUUUUUUUUUGAAAUUUUCAGAUUUCAACUUUUUUUUUAACAAUUUUUUUUUUAAUUUUUCAACUAACAAGCCCAGGAUUGAUCUUGUGGGAACAAGAUCAAGCCAUGCUUUGAUACCAAAUGAUACAAGAAAACCAAAGAGCACACGGAAUUGGCUCAAAAUAGUCCAAACAUACUCCAAAAAUAGUCCACUAAUUUAAAGAAUCGAGGACCCUUUUGAAGACCACUCUCGAAUUCAAGAAUGAAAUACAAGAAGGAAAAUAUAACUAGGUGUUUGACACCCUUUGCAGCCAAUAACAAACUAAGUUAACAACACAAGAUGAAACAACAAUGAGAAGAACAACAACACCAACAAAAACGGCUUCACAAUACAAGAUCCAAAAUGGAUACAAGAUUACAAAAGAAAAAAAAUAGAUAGAUAGACCACAUGAAGGUAUAAUAUUAAGAACCCAAUAAUGGUAACUCUUGGACCCUUAACACUACACACAACAAUAAACCUAUCUCUUACAAAGACACAAGAUCGGAAUCCACCUCCCAAGCAUCAAUGUUUCCAAGCAAAUGCAAACACAAGUGAUUCUACANNNNNNNNNNNNNNNNNNNNNNACCCUUAAUGACCAAGGGUGGCCUUGGUGUGUUGGAAGACAAUAUGAAUUGUCCAAAAAGCCCUUAAAGCUAAGUAACCAAAAUGCCCUUAGUAAAGGGAACCAAAACCGUGAUCCAACAAAGGUGGUCCAAACCCGAGAGUCCUUAAGUCUUUAAAGCUCUAAACAAUCUUCUACACUUGGGUUUGAUCAAUGGUAGGCUCAAAAGGUCCCCUCCAAGUAUGAUCCCAUGCCCUCCAUGCGACCAAAGCUUGAUUCUUCACAUAGUGACUUUGAAUGAUGUCGUCAAAAACUAAGGAAGCCAUUAUUCUUGUAUCAAUGUAUUUCAAUAGGAUGAGAUACCGUGUGUGCAUGCUUAUGCAGUACUUGAUAGCAAGAAUUUUCAAAAGGGAUCAUAUUGCUCUGAUCUAUACAAAUCAAAAACUGUGUAAUAAAUAAAAUAAUUAAAAAUACAUAUAAUGACUUAUAAUUACGUAGCUAAAACUUUAAAUACAUUUUUUUAAAACAUAUGCAUUAAUCAUACAUAAAUAUGCAUUAUUCAUAGAUAUAUACACAUAUAUGAAAAAAUCUAUGGAUAAUUCAUAAAUACAUAUGCUUAAAAGGUAAAAUACAUAUAUGUUAAACUGGACAAAUACACAUACAUAUGCAGAGCCAAAAAAAUAUAUAUUCAGACAAAUGUGUGUGUGUGUGUAUAUAUAUAUAUGCAUAGCAGAAAAUAUAUAUUCAGACUUAUAAAAAACAUAUGCAGUAUUCAUAUAUACAUAUGCAUUAUGCAUAACUACAUAUGUGUUAAUUAUAUAUACAUAUGCAUUAUGCAUAACUACAUAUGUGUUAAUUAUAUAUACAUAUGCAUUAUGCAUAACAUAAAAGGAUACAACACACAUUUUUGGUAAAAUACUUAUGUAUUAAUCAUAAAUACUUAUGCAUUACUCAGAAAUACAUAUGCAUUACUCAGAAUUAUAUAUGCAUAAAAUGAAAAAUACAAAUGCAUAAAUAAAAAAUACAUAUAAUGACUGAAACAUACAUAUUCAUUAUUGAGAAUUAUAUUCAAAACUGGAAAACACAUAUUCAUACCAAAAUAUACAUAACAGUAGCAUAAAUUAAGCACGAACACUUGUGUUUUAGAAACUUAAACAUCAAAAAUCUAACAAUUACUGCAAAGAAAACAUUAAGAUUUCAAAUUUCAACGUUAAAGUGACAUAUGAAACCUAAGAAAUAUUCAACUAAAUUUUAGCCUACCUAAAGUUCACUAUUAUAAAAUACAACAAAUUCAAAAUAAUCUUCAAAUAUCAUGCACUUCAAUAUUUUCUAUUAUCCCAAUAUUUCUAGGAGGCCUUAUUGGUGCUUCAUCAUCACUUUGUGCCUUCUCUUCUUCUUUCCUCGAAUCAUAAUGCCACAAAAUUAAAGCAUAUCUCGUACGAAGAAGAUUUGGAUCAAAGUCAACAGUUGAAACACCGUCAACCGUUGGAACAUAUACAUGCAUUACAUUUGCCAUGUAUAUUUUGAUCACGCAAUACCCAUACAACACAAAAAUACAAUUAUAUUUCUAACAGUGCAACGUAUGUAUUUAAGAAAAUACAUCUUAAAAGUUACAUUACAUCUUAAAGUAACAUUACUGCUCCAUAUCUUAAUUAUCAAACAUCAAAAUACAAAUAUUGUCAUCACUGGUCCAUAGCUUAGUUAUCAAGCAUCAAUAUACAAACAUUGUCAUUUACUCUUAAUAAACAUAUACAACUGAGCAAAAAAUACAAAUAUUAACAGUACAAAUAAUAAAAUACAUAUCUAACAGAUAAUAAAUACAUUUCAUAUGAUUCCAGAAAAAUAAAUUACAUAUGUAUUUUAUUUAUAUAUAAUUUGUCCAAAUAUCAUACUUAUCAAUAAAAAAGAAGAACAUAUCAUAGUCAAAAACAUAUCUUAUCGGUAAACAAAACAGAUACAUAUCUAACUUGUACCAUGUAUAACAUUUACAUGUCAAAAUAGUGGUACUUAUGCAUUUACAAUAUACAUAUUAUAUUUACAUUGAAGCAUANNNNNNNNNNNNNNNNNNNNNNNNNNNNNNNNNNNNNNNNNNNNNNNNNNNNNNNNNNNNNNNNNNNNNUAUAUAUAUAUAUAUAUUUCAUGAAUAUACGAAUGGUACAAAUUUAACUUACAAGAAAAAUAUAUAACUGAACAUCAAUUAAAAACCUUAUCAGUAACAAAUACAAAUAUCUUACACAUACAAAAAUAAACACCUUAUAAAAUUAGCAACAAAACUACAAAAAUAAACACCUUAUAAAAUGUAUAUAUAAAAUACAUAUAUGAACAUAUUGUCCAGAAAUUAUAAAACUUUACACAUAUCAAAAUACCUCCUUCACUUUCUCUUCUUCAGAUUCAAAAUCAGAUGAAACGGGACUUGCAAUUUUACUAGAUUCCGCUUUUUCACCCGACUUUCUUUUUUCCACCGAUUUUUAAAUUUUUAUGAAUUUUGGGGAUGAAGAUUUUGACAAUGCUUUCCGUUUCAUGAUUUUCACAGUCUUUACAGGAUCUCUAUGCUGCUUCGAUCUCAACUCUUCAAUGCUAGUAGAAACAAGUUAACGUCUUUAUCUUGUGUUAAACCAAGACUAAACGACGAAAUUUCAUCGAAAACUAAAUUAAUCGGUUGAAUAUCUCUAACUGAACUACUACUAUUUGCAAAUUCUGUCAUUACAGUAGAAAUCCAAAAAAUACAACACGAAAAAAAAAAAAUUCAAAAAAUCACAUAAUCUUCAUGUAGAUUUCAGAUCCAACAUAAAAAGAGAAAGAAAUAAUUUUGUGUAGGUAAAAGAAAAACAAAAUAUUGGGAUCUGAAUAAACUACUACUACUUCUUCACUCUGUCAUUUUCAUCUUAUUAUUGAGUAAAAUCUACUGUUUUAUUUACUGUAAAGAGUUAAGCUUUUUGAAAAAUCAAAGACAAAAAAGGCUACCAUAUAUAAUUUUGACAGUGUUCAUGAAAGAUUACAAGAUUUAGAAAGAGAAAGAGAAAAAGAAGUGGGUGAAAGAGUCAACCAAACCUUUUUCUGCGCUCUUUUGGAUGUAAAAUAACAUACGAAGGUUCAAGAAAAAUGGAGACAAGUACAGAAAAGAAAAAUCAAACAGACCAAUUAGCAGAAGAAAUUUGAAAAAAUUGACGACAAAAAAACACAUAAUUUUUUUUUUUAUGAAAAAUAUAACAUGCAGUAACUCUAAAAAUAAACUUACCUUAAUAUAUGGAGAGAGUGUUUAUCAAGAUCUUGAGAGAAAAAUGAAAUUUGAAAAAAAAAAAAAAUCAGGGAAGUGCAAUUGGUAAAGUAGCAUGAAUAUAGGGUAAAGUAAAAAAAAGGAUUUAAAAACACGCACUUCUAAAAAUAAAGGUAAAAUAUUGCUAGUUUUGUUAUUAAUUGUAAUUUUGAGAAACUAUUGCUAUUAGUUUGUCUUAAGAUUAUUAGUUUGUGUAGUUUUUUCUUUUUCUUUUUUGGUUAAUUGAGGAAGACAACAAGGGGCCAAGACCUUGAAGACUACGUGAACGCAACUUUUGCAUAAGCAUGAAAGCUUAUUAUUAGAUUUUUUUAACUAUUUAUCCUUAGAGAUAUUUACCUAGUUAUUACUCCCCUAUUUCUAUUUAUUUGUUUUAUAUUUUUUAGUCUGUUUCAAAAAAAUUUCUUUUCUUUAUAGGAAAUUCUUCAAUUUUAAUUUUACAUGCGACAUAUUUAACAUAAGACUAAAAGAUAUUUUAAUUUAUUUUAUAUAUAUCUUUAGUUUAUGCCUACAUGAUUUAAAAAAAAAAAUAAUUCUAAAACUAUCAAGUCAAAACCACACAAAUGAAUUGAAAGGGGGUGGGGCUGGGUAUUAGAUUAUAAGCAGGUUCUUUUGUACCCAACAUUUUAGCCUUUAGGAGUCUUUGGCGUGCCUUUUCUGCUAAUUAGUAAGCAAUAUACUAGCUGAAACGUUAAACUAUACAUUUUAGAAUUUCUCUUUUGACUAAUACUCUAACCAUACAUCCUCAGAUCUAAUUUUAUUUAAACUGGAUAUCAUCAAGCCAUUCUAACAGAUCAUAGAGUAAAUUUUAACUCAUCACACUAUUCAAUAUCUCAACUUCAUGGAGCUUUCUAAGAUUUUAGUUUCAUUUUUUGGUCUUCAAUUCUUACUUUUUCUGUCACCAAGCCAUGCAGUGCCUGGAAAUUCCAAUACAUUUAGGGAAUACAUUGGAGCAGAGUUUAAUGGUGUCAAGUUUAGUGAUGUCCCUAUUCGCUCUGGUGUCGAAUUUCACUUCAUUCUCUCCUUUGCUAUCGACUACACUACAUCUUCUCCGGCUCCAACAAAUGGUCAAUUCAACAUCUUUUGGGACACAGAUAACCUCACCCCUUCUGCUGUUUCCGCGAUUAAAGACCAACAUACUAAUGUUAAAGUAGCAUUGAGCUUAGGAGGGGACAGUGUUGGUGGAAGCAGCGCCUAUUUCAACCCUUCUUCAGUUGAUUCUUGGGUUUCAAAUGCUGUCUCUUCUCUUACAGAUAUCAUUAAGCAAUACAAUUUGGAUGGAAUUGAUAUCGACUAUGAACAUUUCCAAGCUGACCCUGACACGUUUGCUGAGUGCAUAGGUAAGCUAAUUACAACUCUGAAAAACAACGGAGUUAUAUCAUUUUCUUCCAUAGCUCCGUUUGAUGAUGAUGAAGUUCAAAGUCACUACAAAGCGCUAUGGAAAAGCUACGGUCACAUUAUAGACUAUGUUAACUUCCAAUUUUAUGCGUAUGAUGAAGGAACCACUGUGUCUCAAUUCAUGGACUAUUUUUCUACUCAAAGAUCAAAUUACGAAGCGGGGAAGAUCUUGGUCAGCUUCGCCACGGAUGGGAGUGGUGGAUUAUCUCCAGAAAAUGGAUUCUUCACUGCCUGCAGUAAGCUUAAAAGUAAAGGAGAGUUGGCUGGAAUAUUUGUGUGGAGUGCUGAUGAUUCAAAAUCAAAUGGUUUCAAAUAUGAGAAGCAAUCACAAGCAAUAUUGGGCAUACCCCACUAGUAAUUUCAUCUCCUAUGUAAUAAAUAUUGUAACAGAUAUACAACUUUAAAAGCUAUGCACCUCUUUGUUUGUACAAUAUUCUAGGGAUUUGAAUCAAUAUAUAUACUAAAUACUAUUUUCUCCGUUUAAAACAAAAUGAUCUACUUUAACUCAACAUAAAAUUUAAGAAAAUAAAGAAAAUUUUUGAAUUUAUAGCUUUAAAUCAAAAUUAUAUCAAAUGUAUCAAAAUGCCCUUUAAUAUUGUGGCUCUAAAUAUGUCAUUUGGAAAGUUGAAAUUAAAGUACUAUAAAAAAAAAGAAAGAAAUCAUUCUUUUUAAAACGGACUAAAAAAAGUAAGUUAUUCUUUUUUAAACGGAGGGAUAAUUUAUGAAUAUUCUAGGACUUAGGAGUAGUACUAGCCAUCCAAUCGUAGUAACUCAGCAAUUGCCUCCUUACAGGGUAGAACAACUAGCAAUGGUAUUAUUGGGAAACAACGAUAAAAUAAUAAUAACCACAAUGAAAAAAUAAUAAUAAUAACAAUAAUAUUAUUUAACUAUUGAUAAAAUAUUAUAUUAAUAAUAUUAACAAUACAAUAAAAUAACAAUGUAUAAUAUUAUUGCUACCUUAGUGAUAAUACUAUAAUCAAAAUGACAAUUAUAAUAGUAAUCUAAUUGCUUCUUAACCCGUUAAUAUAUAAUUAUACUUGAGUCGUGUUACACACUAUCCUAAGAAACUAUUUUUUUCAGCAAUGUGAAAUAUUUUUCCACGAUUAAACAAACACUUCCCUGAUUAAUUAGAGAAUAUUCAGAAUUAAAUAAAUUUUUCUUAAUUAAUCCAAAGAUACAAAAAUCAAUAAAAUUAUUAAUACAAAUACCAACAAGUUAAAUUAAAUUAUAAAACUCUUUAAUAAAUAAUGAUAUAAUAAGAAUGAAAGAAGGAAAUUGAGGGAGUUAAAACUAAAGCAGAAGGAAAAAAUAUGUAUUAGUUACUGUUGGAAGUAUAUACUAUAUAUAUAAUUUUGCAAAAGAAAGAAUGCUAAUAUAGCAUAGUUGAGGCGGCAAAUAUGAGGCGGUGGACAACAUUUUUACUUUUCUUUUUUUCUUUCUCCGCUAGUAAUGAAAUAUCUUUUAAAACAUAUUUUUUGAUUAGCAAAGUAAAUUUUCUCAAGUAUAUCUUUUAAGAUAUUUAAAGACAUGAUUUUUUUUUAAUAAACUUCAAAUAUAAAUUAUUUUAAAAUAACUAAAUAAUUUUCUAAUAAUCUCCACAUUAUUUCAAAAUAAUUUAUAGAAAAAGAAUUUUAACUUGCUGGAUUUGUAUGGAUAAAAUGCAGUAGGUUUGGUGUCUUCUGGACUAUGAACUAUACUUAGAUCAAUAAAAUUUAACUUAUAAAAUUACUGAUGAAAUAUAAUAUUUUUAUGAACCAAAUAAUUUUUGUUGUAAGCCAAAGAUCUUAUCAAUCACAUUUUGACCAUAAUUUUGUUGUUCAACGCGGUUUUGCGCCAAUAGGUCAUGUGCGCUCCUGGUAUUCAUGAGAGCUCUAGAGACUAAGGCCAAAAGUCUCAUAGGAACGGCCUCAUUCCACUUCUCAUAUAGGUGAAUUUAUCAAGUGUACACUGCUUUAAAUACACUAUCCAUAAGGACUAUGAAUUCAUUAAGAGUCAAUAACUCAUCCCUCCAUUUUAUUAGCAGUUCAAGCACUCUCAAUAAGUGCGCAGAAUCAAUAUCGACUUGUUAUUACCCAUAUGAACCUACUUCAUGGGAUCUCCAAUCACAUAGGUUAGGUUACCAUCUCUAUUGACAAUCAUAUUGACCUUAACCCCAUCUCUUUUGAGGUUUGAAGAAUUAAUUUUCUUCCCAUAGGUUUAUUCAGUGAAUUGGCCGAAUUCAAUUCUGACUUCACAUAAUCAAUGAAAAUUAUUCAAUCUCUCAGCAAUUGCUUAAUAACAUCAUGCCUCAAUUUCAUAUGUCUAUUCUUACAACUGUAAGAUUUAUUCUUCGCAAUAGCAAUUGCGGCUUGAGAAUCACAGUGUAUAUACACAGGAGGCAUCAAAUCAUUCCUUUUUAAAGGAUAUUAGACAAUAGAUCAUCCUUUUUCAAAGAGAUAUUAGACAACAGAUCAUCCUUUUUCAAAGAAAUAUCAGACAACAGAUCAUCCUUAUUCAAAGGGCUGUGAGGCAACAGAUCAUCCUUUUUCAAAGGGCUAUGAGGCAACAGAUCAUUCUUUUUUAAAAGGGAUAUUUGCUAAGAAAUUUCUUAGCCAUUCAGCCUCAGUACCAGCUAACUCUAGAGCCACAAACUCUUAUUCCAUAGUUGAUCUAGCAAUGAUCGUCUGCUUAGCUGAUCUCCAUGAUACUGCGCCACCACCAAGCGUGAACGCAUAACCACUAGUGAAUUUUGUCUCGUUUGAAUCAGAGAUUCAAUUUGCAUCACAAUAACCUUCUAAAGUUGAAGGAAAUCCACUAUAUAAGAUACCAUAAUUCACGGUUCCUUUCAAAUAUUUCAUCAGUCGUAUUUGUUGACACCCAAUUUUGACUCUCCCUUUUUCCUUUAAUUACUUUUCCGAUGCUUCUUGGCCCUAAAAAAAAAAAAUUAACUAAAAAUAAGAUUUGGUAUUUCUGUUUCUAUUUCUACAAGUUUUAAUAAAAAGAGAAUUUACUUUCAUUUAUAAAAUUAUUUUAAUUGAAUAUAUUUAAAUAUUUUUUGACAUCAAAAUCGCAAAUAUAUAUCUUUUGAUAGUCGCAUCCGCAUUCUUUCUAACUGUAUUUUUGAGGAGUAUUAUGACCUUAUAUGUAUAUAUUUUUACUACAUAAAAUAUAUCUUUUACAAAAUGUACAUAUAUUUUUAUUUUUUAUGUAUUUUAUUAUAUCCUUAUUUUCACACACAUAUAUAUACAUAUAUACGUAUUUUAUUAAUAGGAAAGUCACAAAAUAUUAAGUCGGAUGUCUGUACAAAUUAUGUCUGCAAUUUAUAUACGUUAAACUAAUAAUAGUUUUGAAUAAUUUUCAGAAUAUCAGGGAGCAUCGAUAAAUUUAAUAGAAAAAGAGUAUUCGGGCUAACAAUAAUCCAACUUUUUUAUUUUAUUUUAUUUUACCCGAACCCAACUCCUAUUUUAUGAAAUUAAUCCAGUCCGUUAAUUCUUCUUUCCAAUCCGAGAGUCCCGAAUUUUCAAAUGUUAAUGUAUAUAUAUAUAUAUAUUUGAAUUAGAACUUGUCCGGUCAAAAUUGAAUGGGUCCAAAAAAAUGAUCUUUUCUUUUAUUAACGACUCAUGUGUAUACAUUUAUCAGUACAUAUACAUAUUCUCUUAUUUACCAUUUUUAUUGUUAUUAUUAUUUCAGAACCGUCCGAUCAAAAGAUCGACAGAUCACAAUUGGGUCAACAAAUACAUGUCUGUCCCCUUCUCAGGAAUUAAAUGCGCCCAGCUGUUCCACAGAAGGGAGCAACGAUACCUCCCAUCAUCUUUCCAAAGCAGUGACUAAACGCCCCUUCCUUCUCCCUUCUCUUCUCUAUCUAUCUCCUCCACCCUUAAACCAUGAGAACCCUAAUUCUUCAUAGCCUGCUGCCGCUCAGCUUUACUGCCAAAAAUCUCCCAAUUGUACACCGUUCAACCCAUGAAAUUGAAAGAUGCAGGGGAGGACAGUCCCCAAAUGGUGUUAUAGCUUAUUUUCGAUUUCAAAUUCGUAUCUUGAAGUCCGAAAAUCACCAAAAUGGAGAUCUAAAAGCUGUGAAGUUUGGUUUUCGAAUGGGGAUUUUCUUCAUAGGGAGUUUCGCCCGUUGAAACUCUUUUCUUACGUUUAAAUCCGAUCUUUCACGUUCGAAUUUUGAGUAUAAAUACCUAUGCAAAUAUGGUUCAAAAGCAGGGGUUGAAGUUGAAGAUCAGUAAAAAAAAAAAGAGUGAGUCUUAAGAGAAGGGAAAGAGAUCAAAAAACAGAUAAGAAAAAAAGAGAAAAACAGAGUUCGGAGUGGUGGUUCUGGUAAAGGAAAAUUGAAAAAUUACAGGUUCUAUUUCUUCUUUUUCGGCCUAAAGUCGAGUUUUCGGAGUUGGUUUCGUUGCGAGAAAAUCCUAGACAUCAAAGCCCCAGUUUCGUUGCACCACACAAGGUGCGAAAUUCCUCUUUUCAUUUCACUUUUUUUUUAUAUCGUUUUAAUUUAUUGUUUGAGUUUGGUAGGUUUUUGUUGUGUGUGUUCAUUUUGGUUUGUUUUGUUGGAUGAUUGGAGUUGAUUGUUGUGGUAAAUUGGUUGUUGAUGUUAAAAGGAGUGUCUUGCUGCAAAUUCGAAUUAGUGAGGAUGUACAUUUUUUUGCCUUUUCGCUUCACGUUUAUUUGUUAAUAGCUAGAUAAGUUGUUAAUAAGGUGAUUGAUGUUUUGUUGACUUCUUAGUACUUUGUUGAUGUACGACGCGGUCUGCUCAAGGGAUCGUAUUAGCGAUGUGUAAAGAAUAUCGAGUAGAAAGAAGUGAUCCCGGUCAAAAUCUGGAGUUUGUUAAUUAAUAAAAUGGGUUCCUGCAGGUAAUUUUUUCAAAUUGAGUUGCCUUUUCAAUUUUUUGAAGGUAGAACAUGAAAUGAUUCUACAACCUUACCUGCUUAAAUGCUUGAUUGGUCGUGCUUUAUACACAAUAAUAUAACUUGUGAAUAUCCAUAAUAACUCAUGCUAAUUUGUGAAUGUGGGUCUGGUAUAUUGCUGUCAUGGUUGACUUCGCAGAUGCACUUUGUCUUAUUGUGGUCCUCAUGAUACUUGCCUUACUGCUUCUAUAACAGUAAUAUAUAUGGCACUAUUAGCAUGGAUGUUUCAUGAUAUACUUAAGUAGGUAAUCAGAGAGGGGCCAUAAUAUAUCAUUGUCAUGAUAUAACAAUAAUGUUUAUUGCAUUAGAUAAUGAAAUAUGUUUUAAUUUGGCUGAGAAUCUGUGUGCCUAAUCUCUUUUAUACCAAAGACAUCGAUGGAAAAGCUCUCGAAGCUUUAUUAGAAUAGGUUUAUGUGGAUUAUACCCCUGUUUGACGUAGAGUAGUUGUUCUCAACAGGUUAUUGUCUCUUUUAUUUUAUUUUUUUAUCCUCACCCCUUGUUAUUGUUUCUCUGCAUUCAUAUUGUUACUGAAAACAAGUUCGUAUGCAUAUGUCUGUGCCUAUUCAACUAGUGUCUGUCCAACAUAUGUAUGCUCCAUUGAAGUUAAUAUGGUAAAGAUUCUUGUCGUUGUAUUAAUGACCAAUGACGCUAAAUUCGGACUUCUGAAUCCCAUUGGAGAAUCUGCAAUCAAUAACUAGAGUUCAAUGGAUUACUGGAUCUAAUCGCAAGCUGUUCGUAUUAGAGAGUAAUAAGUAGUUAUGUUUUUAUUUCGGAGUCAUAAAUAAAUAUAUAUAUGAUAAACGCUGAUGUUUAGAUAUAUUAAUUCACUUUAAAUUUGAUUGCUAAUUCUUAUAUUUCCUUUGAUGCAUGAGACAUGAAUUCGUACUCCAUUUAUCCUCGCAUUCAAACUUCAUCGUGUCCGAGCCUCAACCAAAGUCCCCAAAACGGAUACAAAAAAGCUAAGCUGUAUAUGAGUGUAUACAGAGGAUAUACAUCAUAUAUACAAAACGCUGAGAAAAUAUAUUCAUUAUACCUUAAUCAUUUUUUACCGUGGUGUCCGGGAUAGCUUGUGCGCAUCUCAAAUAAUUCCACGGGACAUAUACCCCCUAACACACACAUUCUUCAUGACUUUAUUGGCCACUGUACCGGUGCUUUUUCCUUUGAAUGUCUUUGGGUCAGUUUUACUGUAAAUAAAGAAUGGCUAGCAACAUUUUCUGUAGAAUGGAGAUACCUUUCUUUGCAUAAAACUUUUUAUAAAUUUGUACUUUUUGUUCAUUUUUUGAUUUUUCGAAAUAACUUGAUUGAUUUAGGUUAUUGGUACUUUCGAUUCAUAAAGUGAACUAGGUUAAAUUUUAGAAUUGUUUCGGUCCAUUGAAACUUCGGUCUAAGAAAAGGAAUGAUAGUCGCAAUUUACGUAUAUCUAUGUCAUGUAUAGUGUCAUUAAUUUAGGGGCUGUUCUUCUCCUAAUCUUCGUCGUCUUUGCGGGAAAGUAAAGAAAAGGAGAUAGAAUUCUAACUUUCAAAAUCGUUUCAUAGCAAUAUACAUAGCCUCAAACAAAUGUUUUUCUUUUAGAUUUUGAUGUAACCUGGCUACCAUAUGAAUGUUGCAUGUUGAUGUCUUUUUAGAUGGCAAAUAGGACGCUAGGAAGUAAAUAUGCAGAAUUAAUUAAAACCAUAUUGGUUUUACAUAUAGCAUCUCUCGACCAACUCUUUAUAGUUAGAAGAGUCCGAUUUGUGUCCACAUUUGAUCCAAUAUAUGUUUAUUUUGGUCCACCUUGUCAAUGUGUUCAAGAUUUCCAUCAAGUGUUUAUCAGUCUGUACUAAAUCUAAUUGCUAGUAUCCAUAUUUAUUUAAGUUUGCUUUGUGUUUGGCUAAGCUAAUUUCGUACUUAAUUCUCCUGUUCGAAUGAUAGAUUUGUUUAAAACUGAAAUUUACUUUUGAAAUUUGUAUUUGACUUUCCCAUUUGGAAUUGUAAAAGGACAUUGUCGAGAUUCUUCAAGGUUAUUUUUCAGCUUUCUCUUUUGAGAAAAUUAGCUCCCAAUAGCAUUUUAUACCUCUUAACAUUAGAUUGUGUAUUAAUAUAAUGAUAAGUCAUUCACUGCCAUGCAUAUUGCGGAUAAGAUUCCGAUUAAAAAAAAAAUAGAUAGGCUUUGUGUCCGAGAUUUGAAACUCUAUAGGUUAAAUUUCCGUCACUUUUUUAAGAAGAUGUUGAAGUUUAAAGGGGUUUGAUCGACUUGGGUUAAGGUUAUCUUGCUUGUCGUUUCUGCUUUGGCUAAAGUUUCACUUAAACACUCACUCCCCACUUUGAUGCCUAAAGUCAUUAUUUUGAAGAGAAGAUCGAUCAAUUUCUAGUUUGUCAAAAAAAUAAAAUUCAAUUCUUCGAAUUGUAUAGAAAAUGUUAGAAUCGUGUUCAAGUAACAGAUCCUUGCUACCCAGAUUUUGAAGUCAAUUUCAUGCAUUUUUAAUUUAUAGUCAUCCUUGGUGAUGUCCUUGAACUAUAUGGCGUUAUUUCAUUCCGUUAAUUUCAGCUAGUAUUACUUAAUUUUCCUAAUGUGUUGCUCGACUCAUUUGGUUACAAGUUAUAUUUCGUUGUUCAUUUAUUUUACCCAAAUUUAAUUACUAAUUCUUUUUCGUUUCUUUUUUAUAUACACUCGGAAGUUGGGGUUCCACAAUGGAACUUAUUAUUUUUUUUGACCCAAGCAUUGGGUCAAACGCUACUAGGAUCGCAGAGCCUCAGAGUCGCAAGAAUUAAGAGAUUAAGCCUCUAAAUAGAGUCUAGUAUUUCUUACCUAUGGUUAAUUUGUUUUGAUUUAUUUAUAUAACUAACUCUUAUUGUUGAAGUUGUUGGAUUAUUGAGCCUAUGAUUGCUUUAUUAUUCAUAUUUCCUUCACGGGAGUGGCUUUAAUUUUCGCAAAUAACGAAUGGUUAUUACUGGAUAAAGUACAUUUUCAGAACUUACCAUCAAUACUCUUAAAUGAGAUUAGCAUAGCAACCAUCAAGUUUUUCUUAAAAAUAUAACAAAAAUAAAAAAUAGAAUUUUAGUGUCAACUUAGCCGAUAAAUAAGUUAGUAAAAUUCAGCUUUUUGAAAAGGAGUCACCCGCUAAUUUUAACUUAUUUGUUACGCUAUUUUAUCUUUUCAACGCUUAAAUUUUCAGUUUUCAGGUUCAAGAAAAUAAGGUAUAUAUAUAUUCAUCCGCUACCGCGUUCAAGGUAUAUCAUUUCAUACAAUAAUUAUUUUGUUACUAUUUUUGACAGUUAUUAUUAUUAAUAUUAAUAUUAUUAUUAUUAUUAUUAUUAUUAUUAUUAUUAUUAUUAUUAUGAUUGUCAUAUUUAUUAUUAUUAUUAUUAUUAUUAUUAUUAUUAUUAUUAUUAUUAUUAUUAUUAUUAUUAUUAUUAUUAUUAUUAUUAUUAUUAUUAUUAUUAUUAUUGUCAUAUCUAAACUAUCGUCAUUAUUUUAAUUCAUUAUUAUUAUUGUUAUUACUACUGUUAUUAUUAUCAUCAUAAUUGUUAUUACUAUCACUAUUACUUAUUCAUAUUUUUCACACAUCCAUAAUCCAACAUUCAUUUUUUUACCCUUUUGAAAGUACGUUUCACAAAUAAAUUCUCAUACCAUAAGAUACUUUAAUUACUCCAUAAAUAAUUAUAGUUAACUAUUUAAAUCCACAUAUCUCUCCAAUUUCUCCUAUAGAAUUACAAGAUUUUAAAUUUUUAUAAUAUAUAACAUUAUAUUGUCAUCCUUUUCAUACUUAAAAUGCAUGUAUAUUUUGCGAUAAUUGCACUACUACCUUUGUACGCCAUAGCGUUAUGUUUGAUAUUCUUUAAAUUUUCUUUUGAAUAAUAAGUAAUAAUAAAAUUUUCUUAUCACCAUUUUAAGCAGAAUGACAAAAUAAAUUUUUCCUAAUAUUUUCCUAAACUAAGCAUAAGGACUAUCUUUGGAUAGGCUCUGAGAGGUCCCUAACACCUUCCUCUCGAGUAACCAAAACCCUUACUCAGAAUCUCAAAAUGUUUUCGAUAGACUAAAAUAGAGUUUUUAUAACAAAAAAUGGUUUUUUCCUAAUUUUCCUAAAAAGUUAGGUGACGACUCUAAAAAAUAAUUUUUAAACCCAAGAGUCACUGAACGCCACCAUACGUCGCGUGCUAUUUCGACCGGUUUGAAAUAGGGCUCGACAUAAUGACGACUUUGCUGGGGAUUUUUCAACUUAGGUUGUAACCUUAACAUGCUUAGUUUAGGAUUUUUAUGCUUUAUUAUGUUAUGUGCUUUACGUAUCAUUAUAUCAUGCUUUGUGUGAAAGGACACAAGCCAAAUCCAAACUUGCAUUCCUUAUUUGUUUGUAUAACACUACUUGUUACCGUUUUAUCACUUGCAUUUUCCUAUCGAGUCUUGGUCGUACACAAUUCACACACUGAAAAUGCGAGGGGUGUACCUGCACUUCUCCGAAACCUCUUCGGAUUCCUUAGUUUCUGAGUUGGUGCAAUUAGGUUAGUGCACCUUCUCGCCGCUAUUCAGUCCCUCUCUUGAACAUUUAGGAGAAAAAGAUCUUACUCUAGUGAUAGGUCAUAUUGCAUACACCUUAGGCGGAACAGUCCAGGGUAUCAUUCCACGGUUAGGAAACCACCCUUCACUUUAACGGGUCCUCCACGAAACCAACGACAGUAUAUGUGGAAUGAUUAAUUGAUCUAAACAUUAAAAACGUAAUAAAUUUUGGACAUUGAACUUACUAUACCCUUUUCUUUGUACAGAUGGAAAUCAACCAGAAUCUCGCCAACAUCCAUAUGCUGACUGACAUUCCCCAUAUCCUAAGACACUGGUGGGGAAACAUCCGAGUGGUGCAUGGAGGAGAGGUGUUUGCGCAUUUGGGGUCUCUGACAGAUUUAAUGGAGAUAAGGGCAGAUAGGCUACUGAUUCGAUUCUUAGUCGAGUUCUGGGACCCGAUUAUGGUUACUUUCAAAUUCAGGGACUUCGAGAUCAUGCCCACCUUAGAAGAGGUCAGCCAAAUGGCUAAUUUGCCGUUGAAAAGACGGGCAUCUUUGGCCCCCUAUAUUACUACAGGUAGUCGUUUUCUUCAUGACAUAGGGUUGAAAGUUGGCCCAGGCUUGAGAAUGGUUGAGGCAGGCUGGGUAAGCCUGGUUUAUCUCUUUGAGAGGUUCGGUAGAAGAGAAAGUUAUGAUCGCUUUUGAGAGGAGUUCUACUUCACCAGGAUCAACUGGGAGAGACAUAAAGCCAUUGUGUUUAUGACAACUUUUCUCGAUAUUAUAGUGUUCCCAAUGAGAGGGAACCGAAUCAGUAUUCACAUACUCCCCAUGGUCUUAUUCAUGUGUAGGGCACUAAUCAGGACCACGAUCGUGCCAAUGAUUCUAGCAAAAGUCUUUCGGUUUUUAUCCGCAUGCUCCAGGGGACACGAUUUUUUUAGAGGCUGCAACCUAGUGCUCCAAGUCUGGGCAUUAGAGCACUUUUAUCAUAGAAAUGGUGUUGGAGAGGCUGGCCUUAACUAGAUUCGCAGCCACAAACUUAGAGUGGCCAUGUGGGAGAUGCCAGUCAAUGAGGAACAGUGGCGCGACUUCCUAAUCCAUCUCACUGGUAACCUUAUACAGUGGAGGCUACCAUGGGUUAGUGGUCGAGUAAGUUGAGAAGGCAUUACACUUACUUUCUUGAGUUGAUUGGGUUGGAGGGAAUCCAGCCAUAUGCACCUUUGAGGGUUCUAAGACAAUUCGGCCUAAUUCAGAAUGUCCCUCUAUGGUCAAACAUGUCAUUAUCAGAGAUUGAUUAUGAGGGAAGAAUCCCUGUAGAGAGGCUUGGCAACCUAAUCCACGGCUGGGGACAGAUCUUAAGUUUGGGCAUGAGAGGUAACCCAUAUUGUACUCUCGAGUGCUAUACCUGGUACAAGUUGGAAGGAAUUCUAGCUCAACUAAGUCUUAUGUCUCUCCAAGGGCUCUCCGACAUUCACAGAGCGGACCAGAUUCAAGAGCAGCUUCUUCAUCUCAGGCCUGUAACCACAACCAUGUAUAAGCAGGUGAUUCCUGGUUCGGUGGAUCACCUUAUCACCGCUGUUGAUGAUAAAACAGAGAAAGAGAUGGAGAAAGAUCUUGAAGAAGAUCCCGAGAAGAUAGAGGAAGAUCCUGAAGAGGACCCAGAGGAGGAUCUCGAGGAGGACUCGGAGGAGGAACCAAUGGAAGAGCAGGAUGGGGAGCUGACAGAGGAGAUGAAGGAAGACCCAGAGGAAGAAGAGUACAAAGACUUCCAAGGGCAGCAGUUAGACGGAUCCCCAGAGUAUCACCCUGGGCCUUAUUAUGACCUCGAUGAUGAUUAUGAUCCCCCCAGUUGGCCUUAGGAUCCAUCUUGUUGUAGAUUCUUGAGGAUCUUGUACGACCUAUUUGUACUUUUGUCUUUCAUUUGUUUUCCCUAAAAAGGGUCUUGCAUGACCUCUAUCGAUAUUGUCAUAGGUUACCAUGAUGUAGUCUUUAGUUCAAAACUUUUCUUUGUAACCCGUGACUUCACACCUUACUUUUUUCAUUAAUCAAAAUUCCUUUGUCCUGAAUUUAAUUACAAUUUAAGGAUUUGGAUCAAUUAAUUGUGUUUGCAGCGUAGGCAUACCUCUGGCGAAAAGAGGCUCUAUAUUAGGACGCGUUUGAAUAUCGCUAAAUUGGUGUAUAUAUGUGCUACUUACUUAUUAUAUUUACGUUAUUGCCCAAACUAACAUAGUUUCCCUUUUCUUUUUCUUUUAUUUAAUCCCCCAAACAACAAAAAAGUUGAUUUGCGUCAAUUGGAAAACUGGCAGAAUCUCAGUACUACCUCUGAUUUAAAAACAAAAUGACCAACAAUGACAAGGCCGCGAUGAUAGCCGUAGAUGAAGUCGAAAGCUCGCAGAAGCUAUCAAAAAUGCAAAAUAACGAGCAAAUAGCUAAUAUGGCGCAAGAGAUCGAAGUGUUAAAGGAAGAACUGCGUCAAAUGCGAAACUUGACUAAGCUUACCAUGGCUAGCUUUCCCACUCAGCUCCAGGGUCCAGAUGUUGGAUUACCCCCGAUUGCCCCAGCUAAUCCAACGAACCUGUCGCAUGCUCAAGAACCACCUGCUUUUCAACCCACUGCCGGAACAAUUCCUGGUUAUCCAUUUCCUACUCACAACUUUACUGUUUCGAUCCAUCCAGAGAUGCAGCACAUACCCGAAGCACAUGUCACUUGUGAGAUACCUGUGCCCCCUGUAUCGCUAUCGAAGCUCCUGACUUUGCAACAUCUGCGACUUUUAAGGUUCCAUAUAAGGCUGAUCAGUAUGUGGGGUUAGGAAAAAAUGUCCAAUCAAGUGAAGGAGGGUCGAUAGUAGCCCAGCUUGAGAGUCUAAAGAUAGCAUUCAGAAACAUGCAAGUCACCAGAGGGACUGAAAGUUUGGACUACGAUGAAUUAUCCAUUCAUCCAGACAUCGACAUGCCAGUGGGGUACAAACCACCAAAGUUUGAUGUGUUUGACGAAAAAGGUGACCCGCAUGCACACAUGAGGGCUUACUGCGACAAGUUGGUCGGGGUAGAAAGGAACGAGAAGUUGAGAAUGAAGCUGUUCAUUCGGAGUUUGUCGGGAGAAGCUUUAACUUGGUACACCUGACAAGACCCUCGUAAGUGGCGUAACUGGCAGGAACUGGCCGAGGAUUUCAUGAGUCGCUUCAGAUUAACACUGAGAUUGCCCCAGACAGGUUCUUAUUGGCUAACAUACAGAAGAAGCCAUCCGAAUCAUUUCAAGAAUAUGCAUAACGCUGGAGGACCGAGGCUGCAAGGAUCCAGCCUCCGCUAGAUGAAAGUAAGCUCUCCAAAUAUUUUAUCCGAGCACAAGAGGGUGUUUACUUUGACAAAAUAAUGUCGAUGAUGGGCCAAAAGUUAGCGAAAUUGGUCAGAAUAGGAGAUUUGAUAGAAGAAGGCAUUAAGUCGGGGAAGAUCCAAUCGAUGGCUGCAUUGCAAGCUGCGUACAGGGCCAUGCAAAUCGGUUCCAUUAAUGGUAACAAGAAAAAGAGGGAAGAUAUUUCAGCCGUCACACCAUACAACCAACCUGGAAAUUCUUCCCACCAUUACCCUAACAACCUCCAAAUUAUUGCACACGUCCCAAUGUAUAAUACUCAGCCGCAUUAUAAUCUACCUCGAGCUCUAGCAUACCAAAAUCCACCAAGACCAUACGCCCCUUUCCAAGCUCCAACUCACCAAAAUAGACCAGCAUAUGCACCCAGACCACGUCCAAACUUUGAAGCCAAAAAUACCCGCACUUACACACUGAUUGCAGAACCUUUAGCCCAGUUGUUUAAAAGAUUGAGGGUUGUCAGUUUAUUGCAUCCAAUUGAGGGAAAGGCACCUGACCCAACCUAUCGAAACUUUGACGGUAGCAAGCGGUGCACCUAUCACUCAGGAGUCCAAGGGAAUGACACGGAAGACUGUUACAGCUUGAAGAUCAAAUUGAGUCUCUGAUAAGAAGGGGUAUCAUCAAAUGCACCGUCGCAGCUCCCAAUGUGAACAAUAACCCCUUGCCAAAUCAUGGAAAGCGGGAAGUCAACAUGAUUACUCUAGAGGAGGAGUAUGAUUUGGAAGAAACUAUUAUGCCCACAUGGAACUCAGAAGAAAUCACCACUGCAUCCCCAUCACAGCCAUUUAUCACAGUUCAGUUGAGGGAGCCUAUAACUGUUCAAACUUACCUUCCAAGAGUCGUAGUGACCACAUCAGCCAUUGGGAGAACCGAUUAUGACACCAAGGCAGUCCCAUGGGACUAUUGAGCUGAAGCCAAGGGCAAAAUGAUAGAUGCUGCUGCGGCUCAAGGUAUGACCAGGUUGGGGAGAUGUUGUGCACCAGAAGAACCAAAUCGUGGAGUUCUUGGGAAAGAUCAAAAUCCAAGAAGAAAUAUCACAGAUGCUGAAGCUGCAGAGUUUUGGAAGAAGAUGCAGUCCAAAGACUAUUCAGUCAUGGAUCAGCUCAAGAAGACACCGGCCCACAUAUCCGUCAUGUCUUUGCUUAUGAGUUCUGAAGACCAUAAAAGUGCUAUGAUGGAAGUUUUAUGUGAGAUUAGCAUACCAAAGAAGACAACUAGCAAGACUUUGGCCGCAGCAAUCGGGCGAGUGGUAGAAGAAAAUAAGGUCUCUUUUCAUGACGAUGAGUUACCAUCAGAAUGUGCUGCACACAACAAAGUGCUCCAUAUUACGGUAAGAUAUUAUGACAAGAUUGUGAACAGGGUUUUGAUCGAUGGCGGUUCGGGUUGCAAUAUCUGUCCAUUCUCCACGCUGAGGGAUUUGGGUGUGAAUAUAGAAGAUAUAAGGGAGAGUCGGGUGAAGGUUAGAGCCUUUGAUGGGUCGUAAAGGAGUGUCAUCAGAGAAAUUUACUUAACAUUGCAGAUAGGACCAGCAGAGUUUCCUAUCCUAUUUCAGGUCAUGGAUGUGUCAUCUACCUACAAAUUAUUGCUGGGGAGGCUGUGGGUCCACAUGGCAAUAGCCGUUCCUUCCACUCUCCAUCAGUACGUGAAGUUUGAAUGGGGUAUGGGGUCACACAGAAGUUACCGUUCAUGGAGAAUUCAAUCAUCCCAUUUAUUCUGUCAAUUCAGUCCCAAUUACCGAGGAGUUAGAUGGAGCCACUUUUCAUACUCUGGAGAUCAUACAAGCAGCAAAGAUCAAUGAGGAAGUAAUGCCAGCUGAAGCAAAAAUGUCGAAUGCUGAAAAGAUGGUUGCGUCGGAGUUAUUGAAAUAUGGGUAUCAACCCAAGAUAGGACUAGGACCCAGAGCCGAUGGUAUAGUCGAUCCAAUCCAGUUAAAGCAACAGAAGGGUACUACAGGGCUUGGAUAUGAGCCUAUUUCUGGAGUAGCCUGCAGGGAAGAAUUUAAAAUGACAGUGUUCGUGCCAGCCCAAGCCCCAGUUUCAGAUCAAGCAGUCGAUGAAGAUAUCAUUGAAGGAAUAGGGAAUUUAUUUAUGGCUGUGAUCGAAGAUGGAUCAGAGAUAGAUUUCAAGAAGCUUACCAUCCGUAAUGUUGAACCAGGAGAAGUCCUGCAGAAUUGGACCAUUGUCCCAUCCCUAUUCCGUCAGGAGUCUUGGUAGUGCGGGACUGUUGUUUCUUUUAAAAAUUAUUUUGUUUGCAUGAUCAAUUGAGGCUUGAAUCAUGCCGAAGCUAUUUUUGCUACUUGCCUCUUUGCCAAAGCCCAGUGCUUUAUUCAAUAAAGUUCUUAUUUUCCAAACUUAUUUAAUAUUUUCAAAUAUCUAAUUAUUUUCCAACAUCUAUUUACGUUACUCACUUUUAUACCUUUUCAGCGCAAAUAUUAAUAAAAAUCCUCAUUCCACGAUUAUGACAUGUAACGAAUCCGUUAAGCAAAAUAGAAGCGAUGCGCAAGAUUACGAAGAGUACGAUGAGAGCAUGAUGCCUGAAAACUUUCCUCAAGAGAUUGAACAACUCGAAACUCAGAAGAAGCCUAAUAUGGACGAAAAUCAAGUCGUCAAGUUGGGUGAUGAAGAGACAACAAAGAAAACACGAGUCAGCAUACACUUGGAGGAUAAAAGAAAGCAGGAAUUGAUAAGUCUGCUUAAGAAAUACAUCGAUGUAUUUGCUUGGUCGUACGAUGACAUGCCUGUUUUAAGCACUGAUAUCGUCUCGCAUCGACUACCGACUAACCCUACGUGUCCACCAGUAAAGCAAAAGAUGAGGAAAUUUAAGCCCGAUUUGAGUUUGAGAAUCAAGGAGGAGGUCACCAAGCAGAUAGAAGUCAACUUUGGGAGGGUCACGACUUAUCCCACCUGGCUAGCCAACAUCGUGCCCGUAACAAAGAAGGACGGAAAGAUAAGAAUAUAUGUAGAUUAUCGGGAUCUCAACAAGGCUAGUCCAAAAGAUGAUUUCCCUCUCCCAAAUAUUCACAUUCUCAUUGAUAAUUGCGCAAAACAUGAGUUGUAGUCGUUUGUUGAUUGUUUUAAGGGAUAUCAUCAAAUUUUGAUGGAUAAGAAUGAUGCAGAAAAAAUAACCUUCAUUACACCGUGGGGAGUAUACUGCUACAGGUAAUGCCAUUUGGACUCAAGAAUGCCAGUACAACUUAUAUAAGGGCCAUGACCACUCUUUUCCACGAUAUGAUUCACAAAGUAAUCGAAGUAUACGUGGAUGAUGUCGUCAUUAAAUCUAAAAGGAGUUCGAACCAUUUGGAUGAUUUACGAAAGUUCUUUGAAAGGCUGCAAAGGUACGACCUAAAGUUGAAUCCAGCUAAAUGGGCCUUCGAAGUCCCCGUAGGAAAGUUAUUGGGAUUCAUCGUUAGUAGGAGGGGUAUAGAGUUUUAUCCGUCCAAGAUAAAGGCAAUCCAUGAUUUACCACCUCCCAAGACCAAGAAGGAUGUAAUGAGUUUCUUAGGAAGACUCAAUUACAUCAGUCGGUUCAUAUCCCAAUCCACGAUCAUUUGUGAACCAAUAUUCAAGUUAUUAAAGAAGUAUGCCACCACCGGAUGGACUGAAGAAUGUUAGAAGGCUUUUGACAAAAUUAAGGAGUAUUUGUGUAACCCACCAGUAUUGGUUCCACCAGAACCAGGAAAGCCGUUACUGCUAUAUUUUUCUGCUAUGGAUAAUGCAUUUGGAUGUGUGUUAGGGCAGCACGAUGAUACAGAGAGGAAAGAGCAAGCCAUUUACUACCUUAGGAAGAAGUUCACACCGUACGAAGCUAGGUAUACAUUGUUGGAACAGACUUGUUGUGCAUUGACUUGGGUUGUGCAAAAGUUAAGGCACUACCUGUCCACGUAUACCACGUACUUAAUUUCGAGAAUGAAUCCACUCAAGUACAUAUUUCAGAAGCCAAUGCCUACUGGAAAGUUGGCGAAAUGACAGAUUUUAUUGAGUGAGUUUGACAUUGUGAAUGUGACACAAAAGGCUGUUAAAGGAUAAGCUUUAGCUGAUCACCUCGCAGAAAAUCCAGUAGAUCAAGAUUACAGGCCACUCAAGACCUACUUUUCUGAUGAAGAGGUGUUAUUUGCAGGAGAAGACAUCUCAGAGUCAUACGAUAGAUGGAGGAUGUUUUACAAUGGGGCAGCGAACUUCAAAGGAGUCGGAAUUGGAGCAGUCCUAGUUUUAAAAAUAGGUCAACACUACCCAAUCUCAGCGAAGAUUAGGUUUCCUUCCACGAAUAACAUGGCAGAAUAUGAGGCUUGCAUUCUCGGGCUUAGGAUGGCAGUAGACAUGGACAUUAAAGAGCUAUUGGUGAUUGGAGAUUCAGAUUUAUUGAUCCAUCAGGUGCAAGGAGAAUGGAUCACCAAAAAUGUCAAAAUCCUUCCUUAUGUCCAAUGUGUUAAGGAAUUGAGCAAAAGGUUUACGAAGAUUGAAUUCAAGCAUGUCCCUCGAAUUCAAAAUGAGUUCGCCGAUGCCUUGGGGGCACUAUCUUCAAUGAUUCAGUAUCCAGAUAAGAAUUACAUCGAUCCCAUCAAAGUAGAGAUACACGACCAACAAGCCUACUAUUUGUAUAUAGAUGAAAAACCAGAUGGAAAAUCGUGGUAUUACGAUAUUAAGAGGUUACUAAGAGCGGGAGAAUAUCCAGAAGGCGCAACUACCAAACAGAAGAGGACUUUAAGAAGGAUGGCUAAUCAUUUCUUCCUCAACGGGGAAAUCCUAUAUAGGCGGACUCCAGACCUAGGAUUGCUACGAUGCGUCGAUGCCAUGGAGGCCACAAGAUUGUUAGAGGAGAUACAUGUAGGAACUUGUGGACCCCACAUGAACGGUUUUAUGCUUGCGAAGAAGAUUUUAAGAGCCAGAUACUUUUGGAUGACUAUGGAGAGGGAUAGCAUUCGAUUCGUACAGAAGUGUCACCAAUGUCAAGUUCAUGGAGACUUUAUAUGAGUUCCGCCAAAAUGGGUUCUCCUUGGACGUUUGCUGUUUGGGGAAUGGAUGUUAUUGGGCCCAUAGAGCCUCCUGCGUCCAAUGGAUAUCAUUUUAUGUUGGUCGCUAUAGAUUACUUCACAAAGUGGGUUUAGGCCUCAACAUAUAAGGCCGUAACAAAGAAGGUGGUAGCAGAUUUUUUUCGCAACAACUUAGUCUGUCGGUUUGGAAUUCCAGAGUCAAUCAUAACAGAUAAUGGGACCAAUCUCAACAGCGACCUGAUGAGAGAGAUUUGUGAAAGGUUUAAGAUCUCUCACCAAAAUUCCACGGCAUAUCGACCACAAAUGAAUGGAGCAGUUGAAGCUGCAAACAAGAAUAUCAAGAAGAUUUUGAGAAAAAUAGUGGAUGGUAAUAGGGAAUGGCAUGAGAAAUUAUCAUAUGCUUUACUUGGAUAUCGCACCACAAUCAGAACUUCUACUGGGGCAACUCCUUACAUGUUGGUCUAUGGGUCGGAAGCUGUGAUACCUGCCGAAGUUGAGAUACCUUCAUUAAGAAUCAUCCAGAAGGUGGGUCUAGACGACGCUGAAUGGGUUCGUAGCAGGAUCGAACAGUUGAUGCUUAUUGACGAAAAGAGAUUGGAUGCAGUCUGUCAUGGUCAACUCUAUCAAAAUAGAAUGAUCAAGGCGUUUAACAAGAAAGUCAAGCCUCGUCGAUUCACACCUGGACAGUUGGUAUUGAAGAAGAUAUUCCCUCACCAAGGUGAAGCCAAAGGGAAAUUUGCGCCAAAUUGGCAAGGUCCUUACAUAAUUCAUCGAGUGCUCUCAGGAGGAGCAGUGAUACUUGCAAAAAUGGACGGCACAGUAAGCACAAAGCCGAUCAACUCAGACGCCAUCAAGAAGUACUACAUUUGAAGACAUUAGGACUAGCCGUUUCUUUGUAGUUUUUGCAUUUUCUCUAAUGUAACAGAACUACGUAUUAGCUUGAUUUCCCACGGCGGGAUACGUAGGCAGCCGACAUAGGGUUCGGUUUCCCUUAGAAAACCCUAAAAAAAUCAUCCUUUCAUGUAACAGAACUAUGUAUUAGCCUGAUUUCCCACGGCGGGAUACGUAGGCAAUCCACAUCGGAUUCGGUCCCUUCAUAUUUUUACCUUUUCAUUGUAAUGAACUACAGCCUGACCUGAUUCCACUUGGAUACGUAAGUAGCCUGAGUCAAGCCCGGUCAUUGCAUUAUUUCACUUUUGUAUCGAACUACGUUAUGACCUGAUUCCUAUUCUUAGGAUACGUAGGCAGCCUGAGUCAAGCUCAGUCACUGCAUUGCAUAUUUUCACUUAUCCCAUUGUAAUCGAACUACAUGUGAACCUGAUUCCUGUUAUAAAGAUACGUAGGCAACCUGAAAGGUUCGGUCUUACCUUUAGAAAAAUCCCCUAUUUCCCAUAGUAUAGCCUCAGAAUAUAAGGAAUCUCUCCGCCAGAACCAUCAUAGUAUCGAAAGUCAGAGAAGCUCCACCCGAAGGAUAAAGCUACAUGGGUCACGAUCAAUAAAUUGAGGCUUAACGGAUUUCCGAACAUGUCAUAAUCUAAAAAUGACAAAGGAUUACUAUAUAUACUUAAUAUAUACAUAAUAUAUUUGUGAAACAUAUAUACAUAUAUAUAUUUUUCACCAUACUUUCAACUUUCCCACCUACUGAGACUCCAGAUUUGGGAGUGAUUGAGCAACCGAGGGAGUGUUGGAGAAUUUCAUAAACAAAACCAGAAUCCCCAAGUCGACACAAAUCAACACCCCCUCCCAACUAAGAAUUUUUCUUUGAGCGCAGGAAAACAGGAAUUGGAAGGCUACGCCAAGUCAAGCUUUGGGAAAGGAUUAGGGGCAUCAUGCGGCUUACCACCACAACAAGAGCCAAAUAUUCUUCCCUUCCUUUAUUCUCUUUACAUACCUUGAUACUAAUCUUCAGAAGCUCUAACAAUUUUAGUCAAAUUCUUUCGUAGGUACAUUUUGAAGACCCGGGUUGAAAACUAAGAAAAGAGGAUCCUCAUAGGAAGAUUAAGUUAUUUACUUGUCCCAACAAAACUCCGCCAAUCGGAUCCAACCACCUGACUGCGUUGAAUAACUUAACUAAUCGAAGAAUUAUCAUCUAAACUACCCCGAAUAACUCCACAAAUCAGAGAGUGUCGUCUGACUUCAAUAAAGUCAAGCUCUCGCAUUCCAAAGGACUGUAUAUAAGCAAAUAAAGUCAAGCUUCCACAUUCCAAGGACUGUAUAUAAGCAAACAAAGUUGAGUUCCACAUUCCAAGGACUGUAUAUAAGCAAACAAAGUCGAGUUCCACAUUUCGAAGACUGUACAUAAGCAAGCAAAAUGAUCCUCUGCCAUAUCGGAGGAUGAAAAUGGGCAAUACGACUCUUCGUCAUAUCGGGAGUCAUGCACCAGCAAUGGGGAUGCCCCGACACAAAUUCAAGAAUUUAUAUAAGCAAAGAAACAAUCCGCCAUACUGGAGAAUUGCAUUUCAGCAAACAAAGCACAGCCUGUCAAUCAGAGGCCCCCAUACCAUAGCAAGCGCGCAAGAAAGUCACUAUCACAAUAGCAUCAAGUUCCAGCAGCAAUACCGUUAUCUCAUUUCAGACCAAGGGCCGCCUUGACAAAUACGAGGCCAUUUACCUUUGGGCAAAUGUCCUGCCGUCAGAGGCUAUUUACAUUCCAGCCGUUAGAGGCUAUUUACAUUCCAACCGACGGAGGCUAUUUUCAGUUUAGCCGAUAGAGGCUAUUUAUAUUUCAGCCGACGGAGGCUCUUUACAUUCAAGCAGCUGCUCAGCCGACGGAGGGUAUUUAUAGUUCAGCCGGCGGAGGCUAUUUAUAUUUCAGCCGACGGAGGCUAUGUACAUUUCAGUUAUUGCCCCGCCAGUCGGAGGCCUCAACUAACGGAGACAAUACUAGUUUGAAUAUCUAAACUCUACUCUUUACAUUACGAUUCCAAUCUAUAAAUUUUCGAACAACAGGUACUUUUUGCCCUGUUAUCUGUUUUGCAGGACUAUGCAGUAGAACGUGGAAAUACCCUCUUAGCAGCAAACUGGGGCAAGCUAGCGGAAUGUCAAGCAUCCCUAGCUACGUCAAGGAUGCCGGCAAAGAAACUCAACUCGACUCGACUCAAGUUUUCAUAUUUUUUCAUCACUCAGUACCGUCUUAGUCCGACACUGGGGUAGUUUUUAAAAAAUCGUUAUCUUCUUUUCUCUCAAGAUCCUCAGCAGAUAUCACUAUCCAACAUCUCCUCAUCCCCAACUACUCCUAACAGCCUGUUUUGGACCUGCACCCAUAUCUAUUUCAUUCGUUUUGAAAGUUUGAACCCAAUGUUUUCGAAUGGGAAUUUUCUUCAUAGGGAGUUUCGCCCGUUGAAACUCUUUUCUUACGUUUAAAUACGGUCUUUCAUGUCCGGAUUUAGGGUAUAAAUACCGAUGCAAAUAUGGUUCAAAAGCAGGGGUUGAAGUUGAAGAUCAGUAAAAAAAAAAGUGAGUCGAAAGUAAGAGAAGGGAAAUAGAUCAAAAAACAGAUAAGAAAAAAAGAGAAAAACAGAGUUCGGAGUGGUGCUUCUGGUAAAGAAAAAUUGGAAAAUUACAGAUUCUAUUUCUUCUUUUUCAUCCUAAAGUCGAGUUCCCGGAGUUGGUUUCGUCGUGAGAAAAUCCUAGACAUCAAAGCCCCAGUUUUGUUGCACCACACAAGGUGCGAAAUUCCUCUUUUCAUUUCACUUUUUUUUAUAUCAUUUUGUUUUACUGUUUGAGUUCGGUAGGUUGUUGUUGUGUGUGUUCAUUUUGGUUUGUUGUGUUGGAUGAUUGGAGUUGAUUGUUGUGGUAAAAUUGAUUGUUGAUGUUAAAAGGAGUGUCUUGGUGCAAAUUCGGAUUAGUGAGAUGCACAUUUUUUGAAUUUUUCACUUCACGUUUAUUCGUUAAUAGCUAGAUAAGUUGUUAAUAAGGUGAUUGAUGUUUUGUUGACUGCUUAGUAAUUUGUUGAUGUACGGCGCGGUUUGCUCAAGGGAUCGUAUUAGCGAUGUGUAAAGAAUUUUGAGUAGAAAGAAGUGAUCCCGGUCAAAAUCUAGAGUUUGUUAAUUAAUAAAAUGGGUUCUUGCAGGUAAGCUUUUCAAAUUGAGUUGCCUUUUGAAUUUUUUGAAGGUAGAACAUGAAAAGAUUCUACAACCUUACCUGCUUAAAUGUUUGACUAGUCGUGCUUUAUACACAAUAAUAUAACUUGUGAAUAUCCAUAAUAACUCAUGCUAAUUUGUGAACGUGGGUCUGGUAUAUUGCUAUCAUGGUUGACUUCGCAGAUGCACUUUGUCUUAUUGUGGUCCUCAUGAUACUUGCCUUACUGCUUCUAUAACAGUAAUGUAUAUGGCACUAUUAGCAUUGAUGUUUCAUGAUAUACUUAAGUAGGUAAUUAGGGAGGGGACAUAAUAUAUCAUUGCCAUGAUAUAACAAUAAUGUUUAUUGCAUUAGAUAAUGAAAUAUGUUUUAAUUUGGCUGAGAAUCUGUGUGCCUAAUCUCUUUUACACCAAAGACAUCGAUGGAAAAGCUCUCGAAGCUUUAUUAGAAUAGGUUUAUGUGGAUUAUACCCCUGUUUGACGUAGAGUAGUUGUUCUCAACAGGUUAUUGUCUCUUUUAUUUUUUUUAAUCCUCACCCCUUGUUAUUGUUUCUCUGCAUUCAUCUUGUUACUGAGAACAAGUUAGUAUGCAUAUGUCUGUGCCUAUUCAACUAGUGUAUGUCCAACAUAUGUAUGCUCCAUUGAAGUUAAUAUGGUAAAGUUUCUUGUCGUUGUAUUAAUGACCAAUGACGCUAAAUUCGAACUUCUGAAUCCCAUUGGAGAAUCUGCAAUCAAUAACUAGAGUUCAAUGGAUUACUGGAUCUAAUCGCAAGCUGUUCGUAUUAGAGAGUAAUAAGUAGUUAUGUUUUUAUUUCGGAGUCAUAAAUAAAUAUAUAUAUGAUAAACGCUGAUGUUUAGAUAUAUUAAUUCACUUUAAAUUUGAUUGCUAAUUCUUAUAUUUCCUUCGAUGCAUGAGACAUGAAUUCUUACUCCAUUUAUCCUCGCAUUCAAACUUCGUCGUGUCCGAGCCUCAACAAAGUCCCCAAAACGGAUACAAAAAUGCUAAGUUGUAUAUGCGUGUAUACAGAGGAUAUACAUCAGAUAUACAAAACGCUGGGAAAGUAUAUUCAUUAUACCUUAAUCAUUUUUUACCGUGGUGUCCGGGAUAGCUUGUGCGCAUCUCAAAUAAUUCCACGGGACAUCUACCCCCCUAACACAAACAUUAUUCAUGACUUUAUUGGCUAUUUUACAGGUACUUUUUCCUUUGAAUGUCUUUGGGUCAGUUUUACUGUAAAUAAAGAAUGGCUAGCAACAUUUUCUGUAGAAUGGAGAUGCCUUUCUUUGCUUAAAACUUUUUAUAAAUUUGUACUUUUUUUUCAUUUUUUGACUUUUUGAAAUAACUUGAUUGAUUUAGAUUAUUGAUACUUUCGAUUCAUAAAGUGAACUAGGUUAAAUUUUAGAAUUGUUUCGGUCCAUUGAAACUUUGGUCUAAGAAAAGGAAUGAUAGUUGCAAUUUACGUAUAUCUAUGUCAUGUAUAGUGUCGUUAAUUUAGGGGCUGUUCUUCUCCUAAUCUUCGUCGUCUUUGCGGGAAAGUAAAGAAAAGGAGAUAGAAUUCUAACUUUCAAAAUCGUUUCAUAGCAAUAUACAUAGCCUUAAAAAAAUGUUUUUCUUUUAGCUUUUGAUGUAACCUGGCUACCAUAUGAAUGUUGCAUGUUGAUGUAUUUUUAGAUGGUAAAUAGGACGCUAGGAAGUAAAUAUGUAGAAUUAAUUAAAACCAUAUUGUUUUUACAUAUAGCAUCUCUCGACCAACUCUUUAUAGUGAGAAGAGUCCGAUUUGUGUCCAUAUUUGAUCCAAUAUAUGUUUAUUUUGGUCCACCUUGUCAAUGUGUUCAAGAUUUUCAUCAAGUGUUUAUUAGUCUGUACUAAAUCUAAUGGCUAGUCUCCAUAUUUAUUUAAGUUUGCUUUGUAUUUGACUAAGCUAAUUUGGUACUUAAUUCUCCUAUUCGAAUGAUAGAUUUGUUUAAAACUGAAAUUUGCUUUUGAAAUUUGUAUUUGACUUUCCCAUUUGGAAUUGUAAAAGGACAUUGUCGAGAUUCUUCAAGGUUAUUUUUCAGCUCCCUCUUUUGAGAAAAUUAGCUCCCAAUAGCAUUUUAUACCUCUUAACAUUAGAUUGUGUAUUAAUAUAAUGAUAAGUCAUUCACUACCAUGCAUAUUGCGGAUAAGAUUCCAAUUAAAAAUAAAUAGAUAGGCUUUGUGUCCGAGAUUUGAAACUCUAUAGGUUAAAUUUCCGUCACUUUUUUAAGAAGAUGUUGAAGUUUAAAGGGGUUUGAUCGACUUGGGUUAAGGUUAUCUUGCUUGUCGUUUCUGCUUUGGCUAAAGUUUCAUUCAAACAUUCACUCCCCACUUUGAUGCCUAAAGUCAUUAUUUUGAAGACAAGAUCGAUCAAUUUCUAGUUUGUCAAAAAAAAAAAAUUCAAUUCUUCGAAUAGUAUAAAAAAUGUUAGAAUCGUGUUCAAGUAACAGAUCCUCGCUAUCCAGAUUUUGAAGUCAAUCUCAUGCAUUUUAAAUUUAUAGUCAUCCUUGGUGAUGUCCUUGAACUAUAUGGCGUUAUUUCAUUUCGUUAAUUUCAGCUAGUAUUACUUAAUUUUCCUAAUGUGUUGCUCGACUCAUUUGGUUAUAAGUUAUAUUUCGUUGUUCAUUUAUUUUACCCAAAUUUAAUUACUAAUCCUUUUUCUUUUUUAUGUACACUCGGGAGUUGGGGUUCCGCAACGGAACUUUUUUUUUUUUGACCCAAGCAUCGGGUCAAACGCAACUAGGAUCGCAGAGCCUCGGAGUCGCGAGAAUUAAGAGAUUAAGCCUCUAAAUAGAGUCUAGUAUUUCUUACCUAUGGUUAAUUUGUGUUGAUUUUUUUAUAUAACUAACUCUUAUUGUUGAAGUUGUUGGAUUAUUGAGCCUAUGAUUGCUUUAUUAUUCAUAUUUCCUUCACAGGAGUGACUUUAAUUUUCGCAAAUAACGCAUGGUUAUUACUGGAUAAAGUACAUUUUCAGAACUUACCAUCAAUACUCUUAAAUGAGAUUAGCAUAGCAACCUUCACGUUUUUCUUAAAAAUAUAACAAAAAUAAAAAAUAAAAUUUUAGUGUCAACUUAGCCGACAAAUAAGUUAGUAAAAUUCAGCUUUUUGAAAAGGAGUCACCCGCUAAUUUUAACUUAUUUGUUACACUAUUUUAUCUUUUCAAAGCUUAAAUUUUCAUUUUCAGGUUUAAGAAAAUAAGGUAUAUAUAUAUUCAUCCCCUACCUCGUACAAGGUAUAUCAUUUCAUACAAUAAUUAUUUUGUUACUAUUUUUGACAAUUAUUAUUAUUAAUAUUAUUAUUAUUAUUAUUAUUAUUAUUAUUAUUAUUAUCAAAAUCAUUUCCAUAAGAGAAAUAUUCUUUUUUAGGCCUUUUACUCCUUCUCAAUUCUUCAAUAUUAGAGGAAGACUCAUUUUCUCUUUCAACAGGUGCAUGAGAGAUUUUAUCACAUAGUGAAAAAAUAUGUUCAAAGAAUUCAGCAUUCUUUGUCUCGAUUAUAGUAUUACUAUCAAGUACAUCACAUUUCAAGACAAGAAAUCUGUAUGCAGCACUAUGUUCAACAUAUCCAAUAAGCAUGCAAUCAGCAGUUUUAGAACCUAUUUUCCUCUUUUUAGGUUCAGGAAGAAGAACUUUUUCAAGGCAACCCCACACUUUUAAAUAUUUCAAAUUAGGUUUAUAACCUUUCAACAAUUCAUAAGGGGUUUUGCCAGUUCUUUUAUGAGGAAUUCUAUUCUGUAAAUGACAUACAGAUAAAAUAGCUUCACCUCAUAAAUUAUCAGGUGCGCAAGAGCUAAUUAGCAUAGAGUUCAUCAUUUCUUUCAAUGUCCUAUUUUUCUCUCAACUACACCAUUAGAUUCAGGAAAAUAAGGCGGAGUUACUUCAUGAAUAAUACCUUCUUUUUCACAAAAAGCAUUCAAAGAUACGUAUUCUCCACCUCUAUCAGAUCUAAUUCUCUUGAUUUUUCUACUAAGUUGAUUUUCAACUUUAGAUUUAUAAGACACAAAAGCAUUAAAUGAAUCAUCUUUGUUUCUAAGCAAAUAAAACUUAGUAAAUUUAGAAAAAUCAUCAAUAAAAGUCACAUAAUAUCUUUUACCACCUCUUGUCAUAGUUUGUUUUAAAUCACCCAAAUCAGUGUGAAUCAAAGACAACGGUUCAGUUUCACUAUAAACUGAAAAACAUAACUUUUAGUAAUUUUAGCUUCAGCACAUAUUUCACAUUUAUCAAAAUUACUUGAAUCUAAACCAGAUAUUAGACCAAGUGAUUGCAUAUUCUUUAUUUAUUUAAUAUUAACAUGUCCUAAUCUAGCAUGCCAUAAAGAAAUAGAUUCAAUCAUCUAAGCAGAAGCUGAUGCAUUAUCAUUGAUAAUAUUAAGAGCAUAAAGUCCAUGAUUACAACAUCCAUUUCCAAUAAGAAUAUCAUAUUUUGUUAAUAUGACCUCAUUAUUUUCAAAUAUAACCUUUAUUCCAGCUUUUUCUAAUAAUGUCACAGAAAUCAAAUUAAUUCUGAUAUUAGGAACAUGCAGCACAUUACUCAAUGCCAAGAUUUUAUCAGAUGUGAGUUUGAGAAGAACUUUGCCUUUUCCAAGAACUUGAAUAGUUCUCGAGGUCCUAAGAUAAAUAAUUUCUUCUUUCUCAACUUGGAUGUAUGAUAUAAAAUCACUUUUAUUUAUACAAAUGUGCCUAGUAGCACCAGAGUCCACCACCCAAUUUCUCACAUUGGUCUUAAUAUUCAUUUUUGAAAUGACCGCAAUAAUUAUAUCAUCCGUUUCAAUCAAAUUUAUUUUUGACUUAGUGGGAUUGUCAUUUCUUUCACAUCUUUUCUUGCAUUGAGAUGCAUUUUUUAUAACUAUUUUAUUAUUAGGCAUGUGACCAAGUUCAUUUUCAUACAUGUGUUCUGCAGGCUGCAGUACCAUAACCUUCUGACAAACUGACUGGAAUGGAAGCAACCAGAGCAACACCAACAUCAGUAUUAUUAACGGUCUUAGGAUUAAAAUUUUAUGCCAUAAUUUCUUAGAUUGUUGGGGAACAACGAUAAAAUAAUAAUAACCACAAUAAAAAAAUAAUAAUAAUGACAACAAUAUUAUUUAACUGUUGAUAAAAUAUUAUAUUAAUAAUAUUAACAAUACAAUAAAAUAACAAUGUAUAAUAUUAUUGUUGCCUUAGUGAUAAUACUGUAAUCAAUAUGACAAUUAUAACAGUAAUCUAAUUGCUUCUUAACCAGUUAAUAUAUUAAUUAUGCUUGAGUCGUAUUAGGCACUGUCCUAAGAAAUUAUUUCAGCAGUGUGAAAUGUUUUCCCAGAAUUAAACAAGUACUUCUCUGAUUAAUUAAAAAAUAUUGAGAGUUAAUUAAAUUUUUCUUAGUUAAUCAGAGGGUACAAGAAUCAAUAAAAUUAUUAAUACAAAUACCAACAUAUUAAAUUAAAUUAUAAAACUCUUUAAUAAAUAAUGAUAUAAUACGAAUGAAAGAAGAAAAUUGAGGGAGUUAAAACUAAAGCAGAAGGAAAAAAUAUGUAUUAGUUACUGUUGGAAGUAUAUACUAUAUAUAUAAUUUUGCAAAAGAAGGAAUGCCAAUAUAGCAUAGUUGAGGCGGCAAAGAUGAGGCGGUGGACAACAUUUUUCCUUUUCUUUUUUUUUCUUUCUCCGCAAGUAAUGAAAUAGCUGUUAAAACAUACUUUUUGAUUGUGAUUCAAAGUAAGCCUUCUCAAGUAUAUUUUUAAGACAUUUAAAGAUAUGAUUUUUUUUUAAUAUACUUCAAAUAUAAAUUAUUUUAAAAUAACUAAACAAUUUUUCAAUAGGUAUAGCCACCGAUGGCUCCUUUACUGCACUAACAUUUUUUUAUGUCUAGUUAGAACCAUGGAAUGGAUGCUAAUAACAAACACACAAAAAUGAGCAACGUCGAUUCUAAGAAUAGUGAGUUCAACAUCACGACUCCAGGAGGCUUUUAAGUUGUUAGAAUAUGACUAGGAAUAAGAAUAACAUAUACAAUUCUACUUGAAAAUGAUUGUAAUAUAGUGUAUUAUUUGAAAAAGAAUUAAAAUAUAGUGCCUAUAAGUACGGUCUCGGUAUAAUAAUGUAAUUACAAUAAUUUAAUAAUAUUUUUCUCCUAUAUUUCUCACAUGGUAUCAGAACCUCUACAAUCUUGGUAAAAAAUCAAAGAGUUUUCGUUGCAGACGCAUUGAUAUAACCAGUAUAUGUCACCCGUCUGGUCAAUGAUUAUGUUACCAAAAGAUUAAGCCACAGUGCUUCUUUUCGAUGACUACUUUCUCAUGUCUUUGCGUAGCACUGUGCAUCUUUCCGAUGACUAUAUUUUAAUAUCUAUUUUUCAUAGCACUGUGCAUGUUUCAAGUGACUACUUUCUCAUAUUUGAUUUUCAUAGCAUCGUGCAUCUUUUCAAAUUACUUUCUCAUAUCUGAGCUGUAUAGCACCGUGGUUCUUUUCGGUGAAUCCUCCAAUCUAAUUUGCAUAGUUCCAUGCAUCUUUUUGAUGGCUCCUCAGAUCUAAUUUAUGUAGGAUCGUAUCAUUAUUCCGACCCUAUUCAUAUAGUUUCUCUUUUUUAGUAGGGUCUUGCCAUUAUUUCGACCCUACCCAUAUAAUUUCUAUUUUUCAGUAGGGUCGUGUCAUCAUCACGAUCCUACCCACAUAAUUUCUCUUUUUUAGUAGGGUCGUGCUGUCAUUCUGACCCUACCCAUAUAAUUUCUAUUUUUCAGUAGGUCAUGCCAUCAUUCCGAACCUGCCCAUAUAAUUUCUCUUUUUUGGUAGAAUCGUUCUAUCAUUUCGAUCCUACUCAUAUAAUUUUUUUUAAGAUUGUGACCAUUUUUCAGUCAUCAAAUCUAAUAAUCUAGCAUGUGAGCAUGUUUCAAUCAGUUUUUCGAUGACUUUUAUGUUCAAGAUUAGAAUAUAAUGUCUAUACAUAAAGUCUUAGUGAAAUAAUAUAGUAAAAACAAUUCAAUAAUAUUUUUCUCCCAUAUUUCUCACACGAGUGAGUGAAGCAUUAUGUAUUAAAAAUGACACAAAUUUACCUUUACCUCAUGGCUAUAGCAAUAGCAGCUUGUAAAAUGGGCUAUAGCAAUAGCCCCACGACUCCAGCAGGUUUCUUUUAAGUGACAGGAAUCUUUUAUUCAAUUCUAGUUUUUAAGUUUGUUUCACUCAGAUGAACUGUUAUUUAUUAGACACUUAUCUAAUAUGAAAUCAAAAUUCUUCUAUCCACGUCCUGACAUCUUCUAUUCCCUGCAAAUUUAAAAAAACAAAAUUAACAAAAAUCAACAAACAGUUGCUAAUAAUUCUACAUUUCUACUUGAAAAAAAAAAACAUAUCAGAAAAUUCAUUAACAGAAAAAUGAUUUGAAAAAACCAUAAACUUAUCAUAAAUCAAAAAGUUGUAGCUAAAAUUAAUUAUAUUUUUACAUGAUUUAGUUAAAACCCAUCUCAAAAAAGUCAUCGUUUUUAACUAGAAAUUAACAGAAACCAUAGAGAAUCAGAUUAAUUAAUUUAGAAAACUAAUGUUAGCAAGUGAACUUAAUGAAUAAUUGGAAGCUAAAAGAGUAAAAAUUAUCAGGUCUUAGGCAGGCAUAUAACAUGGAAGACAAAAGUUAUAUGAGUUAUAAGAAGAAGGAAGGAAAACAAAGGGAGAAAAGAAGCUACUAUUUCACUUAAUCACAACUCCAGAGACCAAAUUAGUAUAAAAUGAAUUCCAGAAAAUAUCUGGCUACUGCUAUAUAUAUAUAUAUAUAUAUAUAUAUAUAUACCAACUAACUGAUCUUAUUAUGCCUAGUUAGCAUAAGUAGCCAGCUGGCUAGCUAUCUAACAACCUUAUGAUUAGCUCACUAACUAACUAACUACUACAUUAUUUAAAUUACUUAAUGCUUGUAGUAUUCUCAGCUCAAUACUCUUCCUUAAGCUGAGGACUGAAAACAUUUUCAUUCCCAACUUGCUAAGUAAGAUAUCAUGAUGCAGUUUGUGUAGGCCUUUAGUUAUGAAAUCUACUUGUUGGUCCUUUGUACCUAUGUGUUGUGUCUGAAUCAAACCAUCAGUAAUUUUCUCCUUACAAAGUGACAAUCUAUAUCAAAAGGCUCAGUUCUCUCAUGGAAGAUUAAAUGUGCUGCAAUCUGAAUAGCAAUUUUGCUAUCACAGAACAAUUAAACUAGUAGAUGUUGUUCAAUUCCUAUUUCCUUAAAUAGCCCCUUUAGCUAUACUAUCUCAGCUACUGUUGUAGCUAUGCUUCUAAACUUAGUUUCUACAGAACUUCUUGAUAUUGUCCCUUGUUUCUUUGAUUUUCAGGAAAUCACAGACUCUCUAAACUUGAUUAUGUACUCUGUUACAGGUCUUCUAAUUUCUACACAUGCACCCCUAUUAGAGCCACAAUAAGCUAUACAUUUUGAGCAUCUUCUACUGGGCAUGAAUAGAUCAAGAAUAGCAGUUCCUUUUGCAUACUUAACUACUCUUAGUGCUGCUUUCAUAUGCGAUCUCUUGGGUGAAUGUAUAAAUUGAUUAAGUUCUUGAACUACAAAGACAAUAUUAGGUCUUGUCAUAAUUAAGUACAACAGCCUACAAAUUAGUCUUUGGUACUUUUCAUAAUCAUCAAGAGAUAUGUCUUCAUCAAUGUCAUUAAUGCCUAUAUGGUUGUCAUAGUUUAUGGGUGUCAAUUUGUGAUUAAACUCUAAAUGUGUAUUUGCUGCCCUAUUUUCUGCUGAUCCUAUCUCAGAAAUAAGCUCAAGUGCAUAUUUUCUUUGGCACAUGAGAAUCCCCUCGUGAGAUUUAGAAAACUUAAUGGCUAGAAAAUGCUUCAGUUCUCCCAGAUCCUUCAUUUUAAACCUAUGUUAUAAGUCCUCCCUUAUUUGUUGAAUAAGAGAUAUAUUUGAUCCUAUUAUCAGUAAGUCAUUAACAUACCAGGAUGACAACUAUAUCUUUCCCAACCUUUUGAGUAAACAAUGAGUGGUCAUAAUGAAAUUGAACAAACUACAUUUCUUGUAAGGCUUCUGUCAAUUUUAGAUUUCACUGUCUAGGAGCUUGCUUGAGGCUAUAUAGAGACUUGUGGACUUUGCAAACCAAAACAUUCUCCCCAAGGUUGCAAGACCAUUAGACAACAAUAUAUACACAUCUUCAAGGAGAUUACCUUGUAGGAAGCAUUAGAAAAAUCCAUUUGAAAUAAAAACUAGCCACAAGAAGUAGCCAAAUCCACAACUAAUUUAACAGUGACCAUUUUAGCCACAGGGAAAAAAGUUUUAGUAUAGUAUAGACCUUCUUACUGACUAUAUCCAUUGGCCAUAAGGCUAAACUUAUACCUCUCAACUUAACUAUUAGAAUGAAAUGUAACCUUGUACACGCACUGAGAACUUUGCCAGGAGGGAGAGGAACAAAUAACCAAGUCUGAUUGUCCUCAAGAGCUUUUAUUUAUUCUUGCAUAGUAGUAAUCCACUUUAGAUCAAGAAUAGCUUCCUUGUAAGAAGUAUGUUCUAAGAUAGAUGAGUAAGCAUCAAAAUAAACUCUAUACUCAGGUGAUAAAAAUUAUACUGAACAAAAUGAGAGACUGGAUAUAAGCAAGAUUUAGUAUAUUUUAAAGGUAAGAUAUAGUCAGCCAUCUACACAGGUGGUUUAGAACUUUUUGAAGAGUUUAUUGAAGGAGAUGGUAAAGCAAGAAGAGAACAAGAAGGUAUAUAAAGAGAGGGAUCAGACAUAGCAAGUAAAAUAAGAGGUGAAGAAGGGAGAGAGAAAGAUAUAGCACAUAUAGUAGGAGGUGAAUCAUCCAUAAAGUCCAGGAUUGAAAACAAAGGCUAAGGACUAUAACUUAGAUGUUUGAAAGGAAAAAUUAUUUCCUGAAAGAAACAUCUCUACUGAUGAAAAAAGAUUUGGAUAUAAAGUCAUAUAUUAUAUAUCCUUUUUUAACUGAGGAGUAACCAAAAUGUACUGUAGGAUAAGCUCUAGGGGCAAACUUAUCCGAUUUUUUGACAUCAGUAGCAAAAUAAAGGGAUCCAAAUACUGUAAAGUAAUGCAAAACAGGUACCUUAUGAAGCAACCUUUUAAAAGGGGAAGCACUAUUUAGUAGGACAGAAGGUAAUUUAUUUAAGAUACAAACAACAAUAAACGCACACUCACCUCAAGAUUUAAGUGGAAUAAAAGCUUGAAACCUUAAAGAUCUGGCCAUACCAAGAAUACCCCUGUGUCUUCUCUCAACAACUCUCCUUUGUUGAGGAGUAUAGACAUAUGAACUUUGAUGAAUAAUACUAUACUGUUUAAACAAGAUAGCAACUUGACAGUUAAAGAACUAUGUUUCAUUGUCAGUUCUGAAGCAUUUCACCCUGAUACCAAAUUGUUUUUUCACUAUUAAGAUAAAGUCUUUAAGCGGAACAAUAUAAUUACCCGUGCUAAUCAAUAAAAAAAUUCAGGUAUAGCUAGAAAAAUCAUCUACCAAAGUCAAGAAAUAUCUUUUGUCAUCAUGAGUAGCUACUCUAGUACCCCCCAUAUAUUCAACAUGGAUAAUAUCAAAUGGACAUACAAAAAUCAAAGUACUUUCAGAAAAUGGAAGCGUUGUUUGUUUUGCAAUAAGACAAACACUGCAUUGGUGAUCUUUUAUCUUGAUAUUAUGUAAGCUUCCAACUCUACUAAGAAUGGAAAUGAGAGCAUGACCUAACCUGUUAUGCCAUAAGCUUGUUACACAAUCAUCACUACUAGAAGAAGUAGAACUUCCACAGUUAUUUAUACUAUCAAAGUCAAUAGACAGAGACACAAGACUAGAUGAUUCAUUUGUAGCAGUUAGAGUUUGAGAAACAUCAAUCUGCAGUGAAUAUAAAGUGCGAUCUUAUCUACUAAUCCCUAAUACCUUCCAGUAAAUAUUUUCUAAAAAAUGCAGAAUAAAGGAAGAAUAGAACACCACAUUCGGGGAUUCUAGUUAGUUGCGAUACUGACACUAAGUUGUACUUAAAAUAUGGUAUGAACAACACAUCUUUCACAGUCUUAUCUUCAAGAACUGAAGAUUCACCAAUAUGACUAAUGGGAACUUGACCUCCAAUAGAUAAAUUAACUUGUUUACUGUAUUUUUCAUUCAAUUCUAUAUAUUGUUUCAUUUCGCUCAAGCUAUAUAAUAUAUGAUUCGAUGCUCUUAUGUAAACUAUCCAUUCUAUACUAGACAUUUUUAACAUGAGUGCAGAGAUAGUACCUGAACUAGUAAAGCUAGUGGUUGCAAUAUUAGCAGUUGCAUCAGUUUCGUUGCCUUUGCUAAGCAUUUUGAUAAUCUAAUCAUACUAAUCUUGAGUGCACAAAGAACCUAGAGAAGGUAUUCCUACAAAAGAAAAGGAUUUAAGAGCAUUGGGUAUCUUCAAGUCUUAAAGACAUGACCAGGGAUAGUGACAUUACUAGCAUGAUUAUGAGAAUGCCCCCUUCUUUAUUUUCCCUAUCAAAUGGAUAACCAUUUAAUUUAUAUAAAUUUCUCUGGUAUGCCCAUUGAGAUGACAACACUCACAAACUAGAUGGCCUCUUCCAUAAGCACCUCUUUGCUCAUAGUGUAUUUAGACUAGUGAUUGAAACCAAUACUAUCAGUGUGUCAUCUGAUACUACUCCCUAGUCAUAACACGAUGCUUAGAGUCAUAAGUGUCCCCAAGCUAACUCAUUGUUGAACAUAACAUUUAAAUACUGAAAGUAAUAUCAAACUACUUGGUGAAAACUAAUUGAAAGUAAACUUAAAAUAAAUAGUAAUUGGUUCAACUUAAUCACUGUCUGAAAUACCCCAAUAACUAAAAACAUGUCUAACUAUCUGAAAACCUCUAAAACAUAAAGAGUUGUUUGGACAAGUCCCCAACUAACUCCAAUUGACUGAAAUAAAAUAAACUAUUAAAAGAAAUGACUGAUAACUAGUCCUCGAAUGAUAAGGACUCACCACGACUGCUGCUGAGUAGUACUAGAACAUGCUAAGUACAAUCUGGGUGCUGAGUGUCCAAACUUAUAUUAUGAGACAAAAUAGCAUAAAAAAAGGAUACAAUUAGUACUUUGAAUGUACUGAGUAUGCAAGAUGGAAAACUAACUAGUAUGAGCUGAGCAUGGAUGCAUGAACAUGUAAACUGAAUGCAAGACCAACUAUAAUACUGUAUGAAUAAAACUGAAUAACUGUAUACGAGGUCAUGCAUAUCUGAACUGAACAUAAACUAAAAAUUGAUUGAGGACUGUGGGAGCUAACAAUAGCCAACACAGCCUAAUCUGAGCUAAUUGAGGUCCAACCUUAACCCUAGUUGGAAGGGUGUUAGUUCCGUGCCAAGAGUACUAACACUGGCUGGAGUAAAUUAUUAAACUGAUGUCUCAAACGACUAGGUCAUUAGUCCUCAACUAGCGGGAGAGACCUCAUAACCUAUGAUGGUACCGUAGUUCUAGAACAUAGGGACUUCUACUAAAGGUCUCAGUCCUCAACUGAUGGGUUCACCUUCAUCCCUACAUUUGCUCGGUACUAAGUACUACUCUCAAUUAAAGUAACACUGGUACUGAUAAAUGCUUAACAUGAUCUGAUAUUGUUAUACGCUCAACAUGAUAACAUUUUAAAUGCAACACAAUCAUGACCUGAAUGAUAUUGUAAGACCCCGUAAAACUCUAAGCUUAAUUCAGUCCAUUAAUGCUUGUCAAGGGGUCCCAGACUUAGAAUAUUUUGGCUAAGUAUACAGACUUAGUUUUAUUUUAGCCUUUGAAGAAUGGCAAUCUUAUUUCGCGACCUUCACGUCCAAUAAAGGUCGAUAUUUAAGUUAACACAUGAUCAAAAAGAUUUAUAGGGGUUUUCAGACGAGUUUUGAAUUUUUUGGACCUCAUUUAGAGCUUGUUUGAAAUCCCAAAAUAGUGAGUCGAUACAAUAUUGGUGCAUCGUGUUGCCAAUCGCAUCGACAGAUAAAAUUAACCUCAGCUCAAGCCAAAUUCUAGUGAACCGAUGCAAUAUCAGCGCGUCGCAUUGGUUAUCGCAUUGGUACCCUCGACGCGCCGCAUUGGCUAUAGCAUUGCUGGGCAUAUUUUUUGUCUUUUAAACCCGUAUCCUUAAGGAUAAUUAGGUCUUUUUUUCCCGACCUUCAGCCCUCAUAACACGAAAUUUAGCCCUCUUUUGGCUAAUGAUAGUCAUUCUUUCAUAAUUGCUCAAGAACAAGAAAACCCUAGGUUAUUAAUUUCAAAUCAAGAACUCAAGAUUUCUCCUUUAAGUUUUCAGAACUCUUCAACAAAGGUAUGUAAAGUGUUCAUCCAAGGGUCCCUUCCACCCUUGGAGCUCAAGAAACCCUUUUUAAAAUAUGAGUUUUGAAUUCCAUGUUAUGGGUCUGAUUGUACACAUGUAAAUGAUGUGUUAUGAUUUCCAAGAUUGAAUCUUUAUUGAAUUUUCAUGACUUUGUGAUAGUAUGUGGAUUGAAAUCCUUAAAUUUGAAGUUCUUGAUAUAGCCAUGAUGUAUUAGUUGUUGAUUCAGGCCCUAGAAUAGGGUAUGCCUUUUAUGUGUUUGUCAAAAUACCUAAGUGAAUAAGAAUUUGAAUUAUGACCCAUUUGUGAUCCAAGUGAUGAACUCAUGAUGUACCCACAUGUUCAAAAUGACUUCCAUGCUAAAGCUAUGUCUUGCAAUGAUUUGAGGAAAUAUUCAUGAGAUUGAAAUUGUGAAUUUAUGAUAUAUUGCAUGUUUUCCCUAUCCAUGUACAAGUUUAUGACCUUCAAGUUCUUGUGAAAUCCCUCAAUGAUUGUAUUGUGAAUUGAUGACUAUGUUCACGUAUUCAAGAAUGGUUAUGUCUUAUUAUUUUCAUGCUAUCAAGUCCUGAGGGUAUUUAAUACCCGAUAAUUUAGUUGUAUGCCUAGAGCCAGUAUCAGUUACAGAACAGUCUAAAUUAUGUCACGAUCAGUAGAACUCUAGUUUAGUUACAGAACUCAAGAAAACUCAGUAAUCUCAGUGUCAGUCCAAUCCCAUUCAGUAUUCAGUUAAAUCCUCAGUAAACUCAGUCAGUUAUCAAAAUUCAAUAGCAUUCCGCCAGUCAACAAAACUCAGUGAACUCAGUCCAGUUUAGCUCAGUAUAAUCAGUUCAGUGUCUAUUCAGAUAGGAGUAAGAUUCAUCACCGAGAGAACCCAAGGAUGGGAACUCACCUGCCAGCAAAGGGUGUGAUUCUUAGAAGCAAUCCUUGCUUUCCAAAACUACAUAGCCAACGUAGGUUGAGACAUUAAACCUUCUAGAUGAGGGUUGAUGAGGUGGCUUAAACUGGUAGACGAGGGUCCUAUCAUUCUCAUUAGAGUACCUGAUAGAUGAGGGUCACUCACAACUUUCCCUUACCAGUGGCGCGGUAUUGACACCCUUCUAAUUGGGGUUAUAGAUUGGACCCCAACUCAGCUAUAUUAUCUUAUUUGGGGUAUGUCGGUUAGAUGAAUACCUCCCAUCGUCUUAGUCUCAGUCUUCAGUAAAGAACUUAGAUAGUUCUAUAGAUUUUAGGACUGUCAGAUGCAGUCUCUCAGCUCAGUAUAAAACUCAACUAGUUUUAUCAGAAUUAGGACUGUUAGACACAGUCACUCAGUAAUCAGUAUAUCAGUUAUCAGUAUAUCAGUUAUCAAUAAUCCAUGUUGUCAGUAACCCAUAAUCCAUAUGAUUUUAGUUAUAGUUAUAUAUUCAUGCAUGUAUCCUCACAUAGUCAUGUUCAUGUUAUUCAGUCAGUUAUAGUUUAUGCAUAUGAACCCUUAUAUUCAGCCUUACCUCACUUUCGUACCAGUAUAUUCACAUGUACUGACGCAUGUUACCUUACUUUUGCACUAUGGUAUUUUAUACCAUAGGUUUGGACGCUCAGGUUCCUGACCAUGCAUAGACAACUUCAAGUUCAGUCAACAGCAGUACACUAGACGUGAGUCCUCAUCAUUCGAGGAUGUUUUAUUAUUUUAUUAUUUUAGUACUUAGUCAUUUUAGCAGUCGGAGUUAGUUGGGGACAUGCCCCAUCAACUCUUUAUUCAGAGAGUUUAGAGGCUUUCAGACUAGAUGUUCAGACUAGAUAUUCAGACAUCAGUAUUUUCAGUAUUUAUGUUCAGUUUGAUAUUAUUAUACCUUGUUCAAACAUUAUUCAGUUUUGAACCUUAUGGUAGAUUUUUGCCAGAUUUCCGUAUUUAUCUUAGUUUUAUUGUUAUUACAUUAUUACUAUAUGCAGUGCUCACUGCAGGUACCAGUCAUGGGUUAACUAGUGGUUCUUCGGGAUUAUUAGCAGCGUAUAGCGUCCGAGCUACUAGAAUCGGGGCAUUACAAACUUGGUAUCAGAGCCUAAGGUUCAACAGUGUCCUAGGAAGUCUAAAAAGCCUCAUCUAGUAGAGUCUUGUGCACGAGUGUGUUGCACGUCACAUUUAUGUACAUGACACUACGAGAUAUUUUAGGAACAGUUUCCCUUCUUUUAGUAUUUAUGUCAUGCAAGUGAGCAUGAGCUCAAAUUUGACUCUCAGUCUAAUCCAUUUAUCCCUUUCAUUCAUAAAACAUGCCUUCCAAAAAGACUAACGAAAGGAGGAACGGGAAUCAAUCAACAUCUCAUCCCAAUCAGGCAGAUCCCUUGGACGAACACGUCUCUUAUGCAGAGUUCAUAGCUGUAUUCACUACUCUUUCUAAUUCAAGUGUUGCUCAAAAUAAACGCCCAGCUUCCAUUUCGGCCAACCCAGCCCGAAUGAACCCUUUUUUUUUUACCGGGUCUAAGACUGAUGAGGACCCUCAAGAAUUCCUUGAUCAGGUGCAAAAGGUUACAUAUAUUAUGGAGGUAACUGUUAGUGAGAGUGCUGAGCUAGCUGCAUGUCAGUUGCAGGAUGUGGAUCACAUAUGGUUCAAGUAGUGAAAAGUAGAGAGGGCCAUAGAUGCAGGGUCCGUUGAGUAGGAGGAGUUUGCCAAUGCCUUCUUGGAUAAAUUCUUUCCCUUAGAGCUGAGAGAAGUUAAGGUGUUAGAGUUUAUCAACCUCAGACAGAUCAACAUGACAGUUGAAGAGUAUUCUCUUAAGUUUACUCAAUUAGCUAGAUACGCUCCUCAUGUAGUGACAGAUAGCAGAGCUAAGAUGAGUAAGUUUAUUUUUGGAGUGAAUGAUAGUGUGGUUAAGGAGUGCAGGACCGCGAUGCUGAUUAGUGAGAUAGAUAUAGCCAGGCUUAUGGUCGAUGCUCAAUAGAUAGAUAAGCAGAAGAUUAAGAAGAGGGAAAAGCAUAAUAAGAGAGCAAGGUCAUGUAGUUUCCACUUUGCUCAGCCUAAGUCAGACGGUGGUAAGCAUUUUUAGUUUCACCCAAAGUCUUCAGUUCCAGCUCCUUCCACAACCAGUGCUCUAGUUCCUAAGUUCAGGAAUGGUGACAAAGACAGGGCGCAAGGCUCUAAGUCUUAGGGUAGUGUCAGCACUGCCCGAACCUAUCCUCUUUGUUAAACUUUUGGCAAACACCAUCAGGGUAUUUGCAGAGCUGGCAGUGAUGUUUAUUUCAGAUGUGGCAAGCCAGGCCACAACGUUAGAGAUUUUCCUCAGUCAGGUUUUAAGGGUCAGCAUAACCGUUCCUCAGCUCAGUUUGGUCGCCCAAAUCAGCAGGGUGCCACCUCCAGCGCUACCAGUGGGCAACACCCAAACAAACUCUAUGCCAUUCAGUCCAGAUAGGAUCAGGAAAAUUCUCCUGAUGUGGUCAUUGGUACGUUACAGAUAUGUCAUUUGCAUGUUUAUACUUUGCUAGAUCUAAGAGCUUCCUUGUCUUUUGUUACUCCUUAUACAACAGUUCAUUUCGGAGUCAGUCCUAAAAUUCUAGUAGAGCCAUUCUCAGUAUCUACCCUACUGGGUAAAUCUAUCAUAGCCCGACGGGUAUACAAGAACUAUUUGAUUAUGGUAUCUUAGAAAGUCACUUUAGCAGACUUAGUCAAAUUAGAAAUGACUGAUUUUGAUAUCAUUCUCGGUAUGAAUUAGCUUCAUUCAUGCUAUGCCACAGUCGACUACAGAAAUAGAAUUGUCCAGUUUCAUUUUCUGAAUGAACCCGUCCUAGAGUGGAAGGAUAGUACUUUAGCAUUCAAGGAUCAGUUUGUUUACUACCUAAGGGCAAGAAAAAUGAUAUCUAAAGGAUGUGUCUAUCAUCUUGUUCGAGUUGAGGACUCUAGCUCUGAAACUUCUAAUCUUGAAUCAGUUUCAGUAGUGAAUGAAUACUCAGAUGUCUUUCCCGAAGAUCUUCUAGGAAUUUCUCCUGAAAGGGAAAUAGACUUCAACAUUGACCUUCUUCCAGAUACUCAACCCAUAUUUAUUCCGUCGUAUAGAAUGGCACCAGUAAAACUCAAGGAGCUAAAAGAACAGUUAAAGGAUCUCCUAGAUAAGGGAUUCAUUAGACCCAGUGUGUCCCCGUAGGGUGCACCAUUUUUAUUUAUACGUAAGAAAGAUGGUUCUCUCAGAACAUGCAUAGACUAUCGUCAGCUAAAUAAAGUCAUGGUUAAAGAUAGAUAUCCUCUUCCCCGAAUCGAUGACCUGUUUGACCAACUUCACGGUGCCAGUUACUUCUCUAAGAUAGACCUCAGAUCAGGCUAUUAUCAUCUCAGGGUUAGAGAAUGUGAUAUCCCAAAGAUAUCUUUCAAAACUCGGUAUGGUCACUUUGAAUUCUUAGUCAUGUCCUUUGGUCUUACCAAUGCCCAAGCUGCCUUCAUGGAUUUGAUGAACCGUGUGUUCAAGCAAUACUUAGAUAUGUUCAUCAUAGUCUUCAUAGAUAACAUCUUUUUCUAUUCUCGCAGUGAGCAUGAUCAUGCAAACCAUUUCAGAAUAGUAUUAUAGACCCUCAGAAAUCAUUAGUUAUUCUCCAAAUUUAGUAAGUGCGAAUUUUGGCUAAGGUCAGUAGCAUUCCUUGGUCAUAUAGUUUCCAGCGAUCGCAUUAGAGUUGAUCAUCAAAAGACCGAAGCAGUGAGAAACUAUCUCAGAUCCAUUUCUCCGACUGAUAUCAGGAUUUUCUUGGGUUUGGAUGGCUAUUACAGACAGUUUAUUGAAGGAUUUUCUUCUAUUACAUCUCCUAUGUCCAGAUUGACUCAUAAAAAAGUCAAGUUUCAGUGGUCAGAUUCAUGCGAGAAGAGUUUUUAGGAGUUGAAGACUCGACUCACCUCAGCCCUCAUUCUAACUCUUCCAGACGGUUCAGAUGGGUUUGUUGUGUACUGUGAUGCAUUUAGAGUAGGCUUGGGUUGUGUCCUCAUCCAGUAUGGUAAAGUCAUAGCCUACGUCUCCAAACAUCUUAAGCCCCAUGAGAAGAACUAUUUGAAUCAUGAUCUUGAGUUAGCAGCAGUAGUGUUUGCCUUGAAGAUUUAGAGGCAUUACUUGUAUGGGGUGUAUGUGGAUGUGUUCACAGAUUACAAAAGCCUUCAGUACGUAUUAUCUUAGAAAUACUUAAACCUCCAUCAGAGAAGGUGGUUAGAGCUCUUAAAAGAUUAUGAUAUGAGUGUCCUUUAUCAUUCAGGCAAGGCCAACUUAGUGGCCGACGCUCUCAGUAGACUGUCUAUAGGUAGUGUUGCUCACGUUGAGGACAGUAAGAAGAAGCUAACUCAGAAAGUUCAUCAGAUUGCCCGACUAGGUGUCCGCUUGUCAUCUGGACACCUGGACCCACUAAAAAGCAACAUUUUAAAUCCUUUUUGGUGAGUGUAACACACUCUCCCCCACGUUAGCUGCCAUGUCAGCUGCGACACCUGCCAUGCCCGACACGUCUGCCACGUCAUUUAAAAAAUAAAAAAUAAAAAAAAUUAAAAAAUAUUACAUUAAAUUCCAAGUCAUUUUUAAAAUGAUAUAUAACAAAUUAAAUAUUAAAAUUAAUUUAAUUAAAUAAUAAAAAUUUAUAAAUUGUAGAAAAUUUUGAACAAUCAUGUUUUUAUUUUUUCUCACAAAUUAAACAUCAAAUCCAUUCUAAAUAAUUAAAAUUCUACUCCAACUAAUUUAAACUUUUAACUACAAAUUCAUAUAUAAAAACAUAAUAAUUUUUUGAUUUUUAAAUUUGAAUAUUUUUAACCAAUUCACAAAAAGUUUAAUUUUUUUCAAGAUAAGUUCACUAAUUUUUUUCAAUAUUCACUAUCACUCACUUUCAAUUUAAAUUUUAAUUCCCAAAAAAAUAAAAAGAUUUCAAAUUUAAAUUUUAGUUAAAAAAUGAAAAGAAUUGAAUUGAGAGGGAAAAUUAAAAUAGAAAACAAAAAGUGAAUGUGUGAAUUAAAAAGGUACUUUCUAUGCUUGCGACAAAAUUGAUGCUUCCGUCGCUAAUCCGUCACUAAUCAGUGACAGAAAAUAAUCUGUCGGUAAAUUUCGUCGCUAAAUGCUAUUUUUUUUUGAGUGGGCAGGAAUGGAUGAUUUUGAGAGUUGAUGAAUAUUUCAACCUGAGAGAGAGGUUGAAGAGAAUUUUAAAAAAUAUUUUCCUUACUUUUUGAAGGAAAGUUAUUUUUCUUAAAAUUUGAGGAAAAUAAGUUGAUUUUAAAAAUAUUUUUAAAAAUAUUUUUAAAUUAAAAAAAAUGGAGAGAAAAAAGGACCCUUUUUUAUUUUUUUUUAAAAUUUUAAAAAUAUUUUUAAAUUAUUUUUAAAAUUUUAAAAAUAUUUUUAAAUUAUUUCUAAAUUUUUAAAUUUAAAAAGAUGAAAGAAAAAAAAAGGACCCUUUUUAAUUUUUAUUUAAAUUUUAAUAUUUUUUUAUCCCUUUUAAUUAUUUUAAUGUAAAAUUGGCCAAAAAUUAACCCCACUCGCACCCUCAGGCGAGUGGCUACACUCUCUUUGUCCUAGUCACUAUGACCUUGCCACAUAGGCUAGGUCAAUGGUCAAAGGAUGCAAAAUGUUAUUUUUUGAUGGGUUCAAGUGUUCAGAUGAAAAACAUAUAAGUAAAAGUGUCCAACUUACUAAAAUGACAUAGUACAGGGGUCCAAAAGGUCAUUUUGCCUUAUUAUUAUCAUCAUCUCAACUUUGUUACACCUAUGCAUUAUAUUAACACAUCUAUUUCUCGCUUAUUUUCAUUCUAAAUCUAUUUGAGUUUCAUAAAUCAAGUAAAAUUUUACAUAUUUUCAUAUUUUCAAAUAUAUUCAUAUUCACAUUUGUCUUAAAUAAAUUAUUUGACAUUUUAAAAUAUUCUUAUAAAUUUUAUUUACAUACUCAACUCUAUAAGUUUAAAGAUAAUAAAUUUUCUCCUUUAUAUUAUCACAAUUAUAAAGGAGAUACUUCCUUGUACAUGGUAGCGUCAUGUUUACUAUACCCUAAAUUUUCUUCUAAAUAAUAAUAAAAAAUAAUAAUAAAAGUUUUCCUAUCACCGUUUUAAGCAAAUAACGAAUUAAAAAUUUUUCUUAAUAUUUUCUUAAACUAAGUGUAAGGACUAUCUUCAGAUAGGCUCUUAGGGGUGUUUAACACCUUCCCCUCGAGUAAUCAAAAUUCUUACUCAGAAUCUUGAAAUAUUUUCGAUAGACAAAACAGAGUUUUACAAUAACAUUGAUUUUUCCUAAUUUUUCUAAAAAUUUAGGUGGCGACUCUAAAAAUGACUUUCAAAACUCAAGUCAUAAACACAACCACAUAUUGUGUGCUGUUUCGAUCAGUUCAAAAUAGGGCGUGACGGAAUGACGACUCUGCUGGGGACUUAACGAAUUUAGGUUUUAACCUUAACACGGUUAGUUUAGGAUUUUGAUGCUCUUAUUGUAUUAUUUGCUUUACAUGUAUUCUUAUCAUGCUUUGUGUGGAAGGACGCUAGUCGAAUUCAAACUGAUGUUCUUUAUUUCCUUGAAUAACACUACCUGUAUUACUUUAUCACUUGCACUUUUUUCAUCUCGUACACAAUUCAUACACUAAACACGCGAGGAGUGUACUGUACUCCUCCGAACCUUUUUUGGAUUCCUUAGUUUCAGAGUUGGCGCAAUUAGGUUAGUAUUCUGUCUCGCAGUUGUUCAGUCCCACUCUUAAACAUUUAGGGAAAAAUUCUACUCUAUAAAUAGGUCGUAUUGCAUACACCUUAGGUGAAAUGGUCCAAGGCAUCGUUUUCACAGUUAGGAAGCCAUCUUUCAUGUCAACGGGUUCUUCAUGAAUCCAACGAAACUAACUUUGUGAAUGAAUAAUUGAUCUAAAUGUUAAGACCAUAAUAAAUUCAGGACAUUAAAUUUACCUUGCCUUUUCUUUGCACAGAUGGAAAUCAACUAGAAUUUGGCCAACAUCCGUAUGAUGUCCGAUGUUCCACGGGUCCUGACACAUCGAUGAGGGAACAUCUGAGUAGCUCACGGGGAGGAAGUGAUGGAACAUUUGGGAUCAUUGACUGAUCUAAUGGAGCUAAGGGCAGACGAGCUGCUCAUCCGAUUGCUGGUCGAAUUCUGGGAUCCAACCACAGUCACUUUCAGGUUCACAGACUUCGAGAUUACACCUACCCUGGAAGAAAUUAGUUAGAUGGCUAACUUUCCGUUGAUGGGGCGGGUGCACUACUUUAGGAAGCACUUUUCUUCGCUUGAUAUGAUUGAGAGUUGUCACAGGUUUGAGGAUAGUCGAGGUAGGCUGGGUAAGCCUAGGAUAUCUUUUUGAGAGGUUCGGUCAGAGGGAAAGCUAUGACCAAUUUCAAAGUGAAUUCUUCUUUUCCAGGAUCGAUUGGGAGAGGCACAAAGCCAUUAUUUUCAUGGUAGCAUUCCUGGGCAUUAUGGUAUUUCCAAUGAGAGGGAAUCGAAUCAACAUUCACCUACUUCCUAUGGUUAUGUUCAUAUGCAGGGGAUAAGUCAGAGUAACGACCGUGCCGAUGAUUUUGGCAGAAGUUUUUUUAUCAUUGUCUACAUGCUCUAGAGGGUACGAUUUCUUUAGGAGUUGCAAUCUAAUGCUUCAAGUAUAGGCGUUAGAAUAUUUUUAUCGUAGAAACAUGCACAAUGGCAUCAGGGAGAUAGGAUGUAUCCAGAUCUAUAUCCACACACUCAGGAUGACUAUGUGGGACAAUCUAAAUGAUGAGGAGAGUGGAACACCUUCUUCACCCACCUCACCGGUAACUUUAUCCAGUGGAGGCUACCAUGGGUCAAGGGUAGGGUGAUGCUGAGGAGACAUUACUGUUACUUUCUUAAAUUGAUUGGGUUAUAGGGGAUCCAGCCGUAUGUACUGUUUAGGGUUCUCCAACAGUUCGAUAUGAUCCAAAAUUUCCCCCUAUGGUCGAACAUGGUAUUAGCAAAAGGAGACUAUGAGAGAAGAGUCCCCAUCGAAAGACUCAACAAUUUGAUCGAAGGAUGCGGGGAAAUUUUCAGGUUAGGCAUGAGAGUCAAUCCGACUGCACCCUAGAGUACUAUACAUGGUAUAUGUCAGGAGGAAUUUUGGCCUGACCAAGCUAUGAAUCACUCCAAGGGAUUGCAGACAUUUACAGAGUAGAUUAGAUUUGGGACCAGCUGCUGUACUUCAUGCCCAUAUCCACCGCCAUGUACCAACAGGUAAUACCAAGAUCGGUAGACCAUCUUAUCCCUGCAGUGGAUGAUAGAUCCGAAGAGGAAAUAGAAGAGGACCCGAAGGAACACUUGGAAGAAGAUUCGAUCGAUAAAAUGGAAGAACAAGAAAGAGAGUUGACAGAUGCAAUGGAAAAGGAUAUAGAGGAAGAUGAGUAUGGACCGAUAGGGUUGAUGACGAGAAGGACGGAGAUCACCAGGGGCAGCAGCUGGAUGGGUCCCAGAGUACCACCCGAGGCCCUACUUUGACCUGGAUGAUGAUGACGAUGAUCCCUCCACCGAGCCAUAGGAUCUAUUUGCUACCUUUGAUUUCUAAAAGGUCUUGUACAACCUACCAUGAUGAUUGUACUUUUGGCUUUCAUUUUUUGUUUUCCCUAAAAGGUCUUGCAUGAUCUCUGCUGAUAUUUCUACGAUAAUAUGUCUUCCAUGAUGUAAUCCCUAAUUCAAGGCUUAUCCCUCUUUAUAACUCGAGGCUUCACACUCCCCCCUAAUAUUAAUCAAAGAACAUUGAUCUUCAAUCUAAAAACAAUUUAAACUUUGGAUCAAUUAAUCAUGAUUGCAUCAUAGGCCCACCUCUAACAAAAAGAGGCUAACACGUUUGGGUGUCGCCAACUUAUCGUAUAUAUGUGUUACAUACUUGCUAAAUUUUUGGUAUCUCAUAAAUUAACAUGGUUUCCUUUUUCUUUUUAUUUCUUUUUUUGUUUUAUAGUUCCCCAAAACAAAGAAAGUUCAUUUGUGUCGACCGAUAAACUGGCGGAAUACCAAUUUAACCUUCGAUCUAAAGAUAAAAUUACUGACAAUGAUAAGGCUGCAAUGAUACCGAUGGAUGACACCGAAAGCUCUCAAAGGCUUUCAGACACCCAGAAUGACGAGCAAAUGGCUAACAUGGCGUAAGAAAUCAAAGUCUUGAAAGAAGAGCUACGCUAAAUGCGGGACCUAACCAAGCUUACUACAACUAGAUUUCUCACUAAAUUACAGGGUUCAAAUGUUAGAUUACCUCCGGCCAGCCUCGCUAACCCAACGAAUCUACUGCAUGCUCAAGCCCUGCCUGCUAUUCAACCCACUGUCGGGACUACACCUGGUUAUUCGUUUCCUGCUCAAAACUUUACUGUUCCAGUCCAUCCAUAAAUGCAGUACAUACCCAAGGCACAUGCCACUUGUUAGAUACCUGUGCCACUGGUACAUGCUACCAAAGCUCCUACUUUCGCAAUAUCCAUAACUGUUAAGGUGCCAUAUGAGGUGGAUCGGUAUGCAGGAUUAGGAAUGGAUAUCUAAUCAAGCAAAGAAGGAUCGAUAGUAGCCUAACUCGAAAGUUUAAAGAGGGCAUUUAGAAACAUGCAACUCACCAGAGGGACUGAAAUAUGCAUGGUGUUGGAGGACCGAGGUUGCUAGGAUCCAGCCUCCACUAGACGAAAGUGAGCUUUCCAAGUCUUUUAUACGAGCUCAAGAGGUCAUUUAUUUUGAUAAGAUGAUGUCAAUGAUGGGCAAAAAGUUUGCAAAAUUAGUUAAGAUGAGGGAUUUUAUAGAAAAAGGCAUCAAGUCAAGGAAGAUCCAAUCUGUGAUUGCACCGCAAGCCACAAGUAAGGCCAUAAAAUCUGGUUCCAUUGGUGGUACUAAGAAAAAAAAAGAAAUGUCUCGCUAAUUUUCAUAAAACGAAAAAUCUUGUACAAAAGCUAGUAUAAUGCGUAGGAAUAAUUCAUUUAUUUAUUUUUACUCAUUUUAUCACUUAUGUAUAAAAAAUAUAUUUACCCAAAAUAUAUAUAUUUUUUGCAUGUCAAAUAUAAGGGAAGGAGAAUUAGGACUAGAAGGGGGUAAACUUAGAAUAAGGGACGAAUAUAAGGGACAUUAAUCAACUUUAAUGAGUUAUAAGCCCACUUCCCCACCCCCCCAAAAAAAAGUUGAAGAAUGGUUACUUCAAUUAUAAAAAUUAUCAAAUACUUUCAAAAGCAAAAAAUAAUUUAAAUAUUAUUUUGAUCAAAUUAUAACCUUACCCAAACACUCUUAAUAGCCUCCAACGCGUCUGUCAAACACAGAAGCACGCAUCUUGUUUUUCCCAAGAAAACCAGCGUAUGGUCCUUUCAGAUUACCCAAAAACUCACCAAGAACAUUUUCCUUCUUCUCCAUUCUCUCUCCCUCAUCUAUCACCACCAAAAAAAUGGAAACCCUAAGACCUCUGUAGUUGCCGUCGACUGCCACCCUUACCACGCGGGAAUCUCUAUUUCUCAUCACCCAUCAACUCGUGAAUCCACAAAACACCAAAAAAGCAAGCCCCAAAUUCAUACAACAGAAUAA
RNAcentral lists this long non-coding RNA (72899 nucleotides) under Capsicum annuum. Its description in RNAcentral is "long non-coding RNA (CANN_LNC016992)". Lineage: Eukaryota; Viridiplantae; Streptophyta; Magnoliopsida; Solanales; Solanaceae. The record is from RNAcentral.